RNAcentral lists this long non-coding RNA (56435 nucleotides) under Coffea arabica (coffee). RNAcentral's name for it is "long non-coding RNA (CARA_LNC004093)". Lineage: Eukaryota; Viridiplantae; Streptophyta; Magnoliopsida; Gentianales; Rubiaceae. The record is from RNAcentral.
UCUUUUUUUUUUUUUUUUUUUUUGUGUAAUGAAAUUUGUAAGGACUACAACAACUGAAUAUAUUUGUAACAAACCACAACUAUACCUAGUCCAAGACUGUGUAAAAUGGUUUCUUUUUUUGGUUAUUCAUUUCCCUAGAGAUGCAUGACUGUAAUACUUGGCCAUGCUAAAAGUCAAAUAUUAAUUUUUACUUGCGUGCAAUGUGCAGUUUUUUUUUUUUUUUUUUUUUAAAUUCGGACUGAAUUUGUUGAUUUUACCUAUCCAACCGAGAACCCAAAAGUACAAGGGUCUUAGUUUACCUAAAAACCUAGAAUAAAUCUUAUAUACCGUAUAUACACUAUUACCAUUGAAUCCAUGGUAUAUGUGUAAAAGUUGAAUUUUAAAUUUAAUUUUUUUUUUAUAAUUGUCAUUCAUUCAAAGUUGAUAGUGUGUACACUGUCGGUGUAUAGAAGAUUAAUCCAAAACCAAUCCAACUUAGUAAAAAACCAGGAAAAUUAAUGAGAAGUGUGGUUUUUUUUUUUUUCUAUUUCUUUCUUCCUUUCUUUAUCCUUUUUUUUUUUUCAGCUUUCUGCUUACUUUUUUUUUUUUUGGUUUUCUGUUUUUGACUUUUCCUAAAUCUCCUACUCAUCCAAUGCCAAUUUCAUCUCUCAAACAAAAACGAAUGACACAUCUGAGUUCAACAAAGGGAAAAGCAAAAGAACAUAGCGAAAAAGGAAAGUGAAUUGAGAGAGAGAGGAUUCAAGGGUACAAAAAAAGAAGUAACAAAAGAAAAAGAAUAGAUGAGAAACGUCUUUUCAUUUUGUUGACAGAAUAAAGCAAAAGGAAAGAAAAGGAAAGGAAUGAAAAGAAAAAAACGAAAGAGUAACAAGUUUUGGAAAAAGAAAUGGAGAAACAAGAAAACAGAAGACAAAGUAAGGAUUGGUGCAUCAGAUGAAAGGGAUUAUAAUUGAUGGUGGGAUAACCAUCAUCCAGUGAGGCCCAAUAUGUUUACAUCCUAUUUAGUAUCUGCUGGUUGGUUUGAAAGAGGUGGAGACUCAGGGUUAAUAUCACUUUAUCCCCUUAACGUUCGGUGUCACUAUCAAUUUUCUCCUUAACAUUAUCUUUUAGUCACUUUAUCCCCAAAACUAACGAUCAAACUUAACGGAGCUUGUUAAUUAAAAUUAAAAGACAUGUUUAACUCUUAAAAUUAUUAUCACUUUACCCCUACAAACUGUAACCUCAUUAUCAAUUUACCGCAUAGAAUUAUUUUUAAGGCAAUUUAUCCUACCAUUAAACCAACUUAACAAGUUAAAGAACUUUAGAACAAAGUGCCCUCCUCUUUGUAUAAUAAAAAUAAUAAAAAAAUUUAGAGUGAUUCGUCUUUUUUUUAGUAUCACGAAAAAGGUCAAAGUGUUAAUUUCUUUCUUAUUGGCAAUCUUAUUAAUAUUGCAAAAAAAAAAAUAGAAAGAUGGAGAGGGGGAGGAGGAGAGAUAGAGAAAGAGAAAGAGCUCAAUUCUUUUUUAAAAAAUACAAAUAAAAAAGAAUUAAAUACUUUUAUUAUUUUAAAAGUAUUUCACUUUUUUUGUUUACCACCAAAUUCCAAUUCUAAUUCCGAUAGCCUUAAAGUAAUAUGAUAAUCUAUUCCCUAGUUUUUGUCCUCUGCCUCGUUCUCUUUCGUCUAUGCAUAAAUUGCAUAAUGAAAUUUUCAUAAAUUGACACAAUAACUCAGAAACCAACAAGAAAAUAGGAAGUUUAAUGGCAAAAUUUGACACAAUUGGCUAGUAGUGUGCCUCUUUUGUGAGAUGAGCGAGUGAUUAAAAAUUAAAAAUUAACUGAGUGGCAGAGCAGGUACGUUCCGUAGUUCUUCCUUUCUGUUUCAAUGGACCUAAGAUGCACAAAAUGUCUAUAUGGGCCACCGCAAUAAUUCCAGCAACAGGUCUAUAUCUUUUCGUUGGCACAGACGAAGGACUUAGCCCAUUGGCGCUUAUAAUUAAUGUCAAAUGUUUCGAAGACUAGGUUCGAUAUAUUCUUUACCCCAUGGCCAAACUUCUUUCCACUGAAAUCGGCAAACUAGUACAUGGAUCCAAUAUCGCAACGGAUCUUCUGUUCCACACCUUGUGCCACUCUCUGUCCCACUUUUUAGUAUAUUGAUAUUUCUCCUGUAUAAACAUCACGUUUUAGUUCUUUUUUGUUUUCUUAAGAUUCAAUAACUAUUAAUUGAGUAAAAAAUAAAUACAGGAGGUUCAAAAAAGUAAUAUAUAAUAGAAAAUUAAAAAAUACAGCAGAAAAUUCAUAAAAAAUUUCAAUUUUUAUGUAUUUUGGUUUUUUGAGCUUGUUAAAUUUUGUGUAUUACUCAAUUAAUAGUUAUUGGAUCUUAAGGAAACAAAAAAGAACUAAAACGUGAUGUUUAUACAGGAGAAAUAUCAAUAUACUAAAAAAUGGGACAGAAAAUGGCACAGGGUGUGGGACAGAAGAUACGUUGUGAUCCAAUAUGGAUAACUAGUACAUGAAUACGACAUAUCUUUCUCUAUAUUCCCACAGGCAUGGCACCGAAACGUGGCCCGCUGGUUUUUGAAGGUCAAAGCGUGUACAUGGCUUGGAUGCUUCAAUUUACGGUCUUCAAUGGUAACACAUAUGAUGUCGAGGUCAAAUGCACAAGGGUUAUAGUGAUAGGUGAAGUUUCUCCACAUUUGUUGGCGGCCAUUACAGAAGCAGCUGCCUCCACUGUAAGGCGGCUUGUCAAUAAGGAUGAGGCGGUGCUGAGGGUGCAUGGCAUGAGAAAUGUCCUUUGGAAGUUCAGCACAUCUUUUGUGAAGGAAGAAGCUACACUUUCCACAAGAAUAUGUGGGCUCUGCAAGGAUUGGCGUUUGGCAGCCAUAGCAAACUGAUUUUCGAACAAUCUCAUCUCUUUCCCCUUUCACCAGAAUCAGCAGAUGCUCGUGGCUGAAAUGUUUCAGGUAUUCCAUUUCUAUGAUAUGCUAUGUGGAAAUCAAAGCUAAGAUGGGGAAAAUUACUAUGAGGAUGGCUUGACAAUGAAAGGUUGUGUUUCUACUUUGGAUCAAUUCCAAGAACUUCUUAAUAGUACAUAGAAAGAGGUGAAUCCAAAAUUAAUCUAUUACACGUUUGGAAUCUUUUCCUUUCCGCUGAUGUUAUCGUCUCUGCUAUAACAGUUACCUUUCGCUUUGGCUCAAAGUAGGGAUCCUCAGCAUCCUAAGUUGUCCUGUCCUAACUCCUAACAUAUUUCUUAGCCGUUUGUAGUGUCAACUUUUCUUCCUCUAUUGCGCUUUUCUUCCUAGCAAUAUUAUCCUACCUGCCUACUUUGAGUCGGUAGAUAUAUGUUGCAGGACAAGUUAUAAGAGAAGUGAUCCCUACCAUCCACCUCUUCGAGAAAAAAAAAAAAAAAAACAAAUGCAGAAGACAGAACAACCUUUGUUUAUUCCCAACAUACUUUGCAAUUGGAAGAGUGACACCAAUACAACUUGUUUGAACAAGGAUAUCUGCAUUUGCCUUUUCCCAAAUAGGGUACAUUAAAUUAAACACAUCACUCAGAAAUCUUAGCAGGACCAGCGAUUUUGCCAGAAUUAGCUACUCUUGCUACAUAUUUAAUGCAUAUAUAGAACUGGCAAGUUUCACAUUUAAACACCCUGUUGCCAUACAUCCGUUCAUGGCAAGAGUCGCAGGUGGAACGAUAUUCACCAUCACAAACUAACUUGAGAGGGUGCGGAUGUCUUCCAAAUUCAAGAAUGCGCCCAAAAUUGCAAUUUCGUGUCACACCAAGUCCGGGGAUACAACGAGGGUGAAAAGAUUGAUCACACUCGCGACAAUGAUAGUGCCAACGCCUGGGAUGAAUUUCUUCUUUGCAAAUCUCACAAUAGAAUUCAUCAGGACGGUCACUGAAAGGAGGAAAGCUUAGGGGAAGAGCGUAUUUAUCCCACCUGUGAUUGACACUCUCUGGUAGCAAAGCACAUUCAUAGUCCAAAUAGAAACCACAAGGCUCACAGGCAUAAAGAAAACUACGAACAACAUUUCCACAGGAGUUACAUCUGUUGCCAUUGCCCCUAUACAUUUGAACAAGGGAAUGCUCGUGUGCUUUGUGAUCGAUUGUGGAGGGUAAUAAAGCACACUUCACAUCAUGAUCAAAAGUAUACAACCUGCAUGUGUCACACUUGAAUAAGUAGCCAUUAUAGUCCAGAUUGCACGCGCUACACUUGAUCAUCCCCCAUACAAAUGACACAAAAGCCAGCUUAAGUUUAUGCUUCUCAUGACUUGGGUGUUGUAGUUCCUCUGGUAAUUGAGCACAGGUUAAGUGGACAAAAUAAUUGCAUUGAGUACAAUGGCAGCACAAGGAAACAACAGGUUCAAUGCAUCGGUUGCACGUUAUGCGUUCAAUAUUUCUUGAUUUGAUAAGUUUCUGGAUGUCCACAAUAGCCAAGGUAUGUUGGCAACAACUGACCUGUACUUUCUUGGGAACUCGCAUAAUCUCCAGGCCCUGUUUUUUCUCCAAAAUGUGUCUCAUUUCCUGGACAAAAUAGUUGGUAGGUAAUUGGACCAAAUCCUCCUCAUCUUCCUUACCCUUUGGUCCAUGCAUUCCACGCCUGCUUAUACAGAAGGAGAUGUUUAAAGGUGAUUACAUCAAUAGAUGAAAGAAAGCAAAAUGUGACGGCAAAAUCAUGUUCACUUCUAUCAAAACAAAAUCAAAAUGGGAAUGUACUCUCUUGUCAAUUAUGCAACAAAGAGGGCACAUGCAGGAUUCAGGAAAUACAGGGGUACUCGAUAAUGAAUAUCAAUCAAUUCGGUGUCUCGCCACGAAGUGGGUUCUCUAUAAUGUUAUAAUCAUUGAACUGAACAACCUGGAUUAUUCUAUAACUAAGAAAAAAAAUGAAGAAUACUUGCGGUAGAAUCCUGUCCCUUGUCAUGCACUUGAGAUGGACAAAGUAUCUACAGGGACCGCAAUAGUACACCCAAUUUUGGAAGGGUAUUUUCUUGAAGGAGAUGUCACACGGAAUUUCAUAUCUACAAUAUUCAAUCGGAAAACAAUAUGCAAGAGAAAGAGGAUGCUGAUGAGGCUUUCGAUGGUUGAUAGUCGGCAACAAGGCACAACUCCUAUGGAUCCAGAAGGUACAGGCAGUACAAAUAUAGGAUUGCUGCUCCUCUUUUGUUCCACAAGCAUCGCAAGCGAACGAAGCUAUUCUUUGUACCAGAGUCAGUGGAUGUUCGUGGCUAGGAUGUUCCAAUUUGCCUUGAGGAAAAGCACACAAGAUAUCAAGGUCGAAGUUACAACGAUAACAAUGAUAGACGAAGCUAUUCCAUGGUUGUCUACAGGCAUCGCACAAGCAUCUUCUGUCUUUGGGAUAAGGUGAAUUUGGCAGGAGUUUGAGUGGAUGGUUAGGGUGCAGGGGAUGAUGCAACAUCUCCCUUGGCAGCUCUGCACAUGUUUUGUGGAGGAAGAUGUUGCAUUCGCUGCAUUUGUAUGUGGGCUCUUCAAGAAUUGGUUUUUGACAGCCGUAGCAGACACUAUUAAUAGGUUUCUGAUCAUCGUGCUGGAGCUGAGUAGCGAGGAUGCUUUUCAUGGCUAAAGUGUUUCAGCUCCCCCUCCAUAUCUUUUGCCGUUUUAAUGUCGGCAAAACGUAAAAAAUGCUUAUCCUGGCUGGCUGGAGUGCUGCUGAUCUUGAAAGAAAGCGAUUGGACCAUAUGAGAAAUGUUAUGCCGUAUGUGCAUUAUUUGGCAGCUGAGCAAAGCAAAGGACAGUGGUGGAGGGAGCCAGUCUUGUCUUGUGAACAACUCCUCAGAUUUUGGAAUCUUUGAUCUUUUAUGCACUUUUUUUUUUUUAUUGUUUUGAGAUCAUUUGCUACAGGGAUUAACUAACUACAUGAUCAAUUGCUGCCUCUGCAGGUCCUCAAUCUUGGGAGUGCGAUGAAAUUGGACCUCUCCGGCAAACAUCAGAGAUAAUAUUAUACAUCUCCUUGAUUUAGCUGAAAUGAGCAGAUAAAAUGACAUGACAAAGCCAAACAAAAUACAGGCAAAGGUCGCGGAAUAUGCAAGAGAAAAAGGAUGCUGGUCAGGUAAGCACAACCCUUAUGUAGUGACAGGUAGCAUAAAUAUUGGAUUGCUCUUAUUUUGUUCCACAUGUAUCGCAAGUGAAUGAAGCUUGUCUUAUUAGCAGAGUUAAUGGAUGUUCAUGACUUAAAUAAAUGUUCCCAUUUGCCUUGAACAAAAAAGGCAUACAAGAUAUCUAUCAAGGUUGAAGUCACAAGAAUAACAACAGUAGAAGCAGCUCUUACAUUUUCCAGAACAGGCAUGGCAUGGCAUGGCAUGGCACAAGUAGUUUUGCCGACUAUCUGACGACCAUUUCAGAGAAACUAUAGGCAGCGCAUUACCUUACACCCAAGUAAAAGGAAAGUGGUUUAGGGUCUGUUUGGUUGGAAAUAAAAUGUUUUCUUUGGAAAAAUAUUUUCCGUGGAAGUAAUUUUUCAUGAAAAUCAUUUCCCUUUCAUCAUUUUCAGGUGUUUGGUUAACUUAUUGAAAAUAUUUUCUUACUUCAUUUUUCUGGUGUUUGUUUCUCUUUUGAAACAUUUUUACUUUUAUCUCUAUCUUUACUUUCUACACAUUAUAACUACAUACUUCUUCCCAUGCAAAAUAAGAAAAUUUAUCUCAUUGUUUAACUUUAAAAAAUCUUGGAGAAAUGUAUAUAUGAAUAAAAAAUAUUUCCUUAAGCAAUAAACAAAUUGCUGGCCAUUUAGUGUCAAAUAUCAAUCACAUGCAAUGUUUAUUGUGACAUAUAUCUUGCACUCUCACUGCUGAAAGUUUCUCUAGAAAAGAAUGUCCCUAUUAUACGUAAUUAAUUAUUAGCAUAGGAUGAGUAGGAUGAGAUUUUUUUUUUAUUUUGAAUAUACUAGAGGGAGGGUUGGAUUGGGUUGGGUUGGGUGGUACGGGGGAGGGAGUGUAAGGAAGAGGUCUUGGGUUCGAGUCCUGCUGUUUACACUAAAAAAAAAAAAAGGAACAUACUAUAAAAUGUUUUCAGUAAGUUUGGAACAUACUACAGGCGGGAUGCAUGCAUUUCGGAAAACAACUUCAGUAAGUUUGGAAGGGAAGUUAUUUUCCAUAAGAUGAGUGAAAAUAUUUUACAUAGGAAAAUGUUUUCAGUAACUUUUGUGCAAUCAAAUACGGGAAAUUAGGAAAAUAUUUUCCUGCAAAACAUUUUCACCUGAAACAAACGGACCCUUAGAAUCCUUAGUUUUUUUUUUAUAGGAUUCUUGAUUCGUGAGGCAAUGAGAUUUGAUCAUCAACCCGAUGGCAAGUAUAGAUUCUACUUCUUCAAUUUUCAUAGCUACUUCAGAUCCUUAACUUUGAGGAUUCUCCCACCCUAAUUCCAAUGAGAGAGUUGCUGCCAAUAUUAUUACACAUAAGAUGCUUUCAGCCGGGAGAGUGCAAAAUCAUUCUUCAAAAAUUAAUCCACUGGAAGAAUGACAUCUUGCAUCAACUCCAAAACUUGAUCAGAUAGCACAUAUUAACUUUCACAAGACCCGGAUUGGUCCUAAAAGAGCACAUGCCCACCAAUUUAACUAUUUUCUAAUCUGACUUUUUUUUUAUGAUUUAAUAAUUAGUUUUCUGAAAAAAAAAAGUUAUUUAAAACAAUAUAAAAAUUUUCACCAACAAUCAUGUUAUAAACCACCCAAUUUUUUGCAAAAAGUUUUAAAAAAUAUUUGGAAAAAAAAAAGGAGACAAACGUGAAAACAUUGGUUAAGUUGUACUACAUGGGUUAUACAUACGGUAAGGAGCAUGUGUUGAUCUUUCGUGUAUGUCCAUCUCCUGGGAUGCAAGAGCCAUGUCCAUGCAUUCACCAGGUACCAUGCCUAUGCAUAUAUCUCGACUAUAUACAUCCACCAGACGCAGAUCGAGAGCAACUAUAAGGAGAAGAAAGACUUGUGAAUCCCCAUGGCAGACAAGCUGUCUUUACCAAUAGCAGAGGUGGGGAUUUCCUUCACAAGAAACUAAAUAAUCGAAAUGACCAUCUAAAACAUGGGCUUCUGAUAUCUCUUCCAGGUAAAAGUUCUGAAGUUGUAGAGGCUGAAUUGUAAGGCUUGGUUAAAAAUCAUGGCAUGAAAAAGCAGAGGUAUAAGAUUCUUAUUGAAUCAUCAAAUGAACAUCUAUAAGCACGCAGGUUUUCUAUAAUAUCUCUUCCAGGUAAGCUCUAAAGUUUCUUAUCAUGGAGCAUCUCCACCUCGCAGGCUAUCAAAUACUAUGCAUUUCUCCACGAUUAGCUGAAAUAUGAGAAAAAAAUAUGGCAGCACAAACAGAAAUAAAAUGCAGGCGUAGAUAGAGGAAAUUGCAGAACAUCACAGCCAUUCAUCAGACAUGUACAUGAUGUGUAAACAACAUACAUCCAGCUUAUGUUUUUCAAUGUUGGACCACACUCUACCUAAUAUACAUGGAUAAAAGGACAAAAAUGCUUAGCCUCAUCAGAAGCCUACGAAAAAGAAAACUAAUAAAAACGAGUUACUAGGAUGUCAGACAUGCAAGCAAUUUCUGGCACAGUUGCCUGACCUCCAUUGAAGGAUCUGAUGUGGAUAUUGUUUGAAGCAAUGUUCUUGCUUCCAGCAGUCCCCCUGAAAUAUUGUGGAUAACAGCUUCCUCACUUGCCAUUAAAGAAGCCAAUAACUUGGCACCUGUUAUCCUCACCUAAUGGACAGGAUACAAACACUCAUAGGAACGUCACAAGGUAGCACCUCAGAAAGAAAACAAGACGUUUUCCAGUAAAAAUUUAUUACCGAACCAGACUUUAGAGAUUCAAGAGCAAUAAAAAAUUCCUCCAAUAUGUUGAUUUUUCUUUCCUCAAAUCAAAUCUUUUCCAGUUUAAACAAUUAUUUGCUUGCGCGAAAGCAAAUCUUGGUGCAUGAGUGUCAGAGAUGGAAGUUGUUUUGGGUGUUUUUGGAGGGGGGGGGGCCGGAGGGAAGGACUAUAUAUGCCUUUCAAUCCUCCUUUGUUCCUAUCAUUCUGAACUUUUCCUAAAUCUGUGUGUGUAUGUGCGUCAGAGAGAGAGGCUACCAUUUAGGCCUGGCCAUAUUCGCUGAGUUAUGGUUGGUAAAAUAAUUACAAUUGUCAUACAUCAGUUAUAAACUCCGUGCGUGUGCAUGUGUCUGUCUGCAUAAAAAGCACACAGGUGUAUAUGUGCAUGUGUAUGUGAGCAAUUCCAAUGAGCAACAUCCAAAAAUAUUAAAGGUCACCGUAUUACCUUUUCCACAACAUCUGUAAGUGAAGUUAAUGCAAUCUUCAGAAUAUCGGAGGAGUAAGGAAGAACUGCAGAUUUCAAAUGGUACACCGCAGAGAAGAGAACCUGGUUGCAGGCAGCCCUAAUUUCAGAUUCUGUAAUUGCCUGCCAAAAAUGAAGAGAUGAGCAGGAAGAAUGACAAGCUCAUAUAGGAAAACCUAUGAAAUAAUAACACGAAAUACCCUGGUGGAGCAAAUGACAGGUGGGAGAAUUUUCUGAGCCAAUAGCAUCUUGCCAGACUCUGAAACCUUCUGACAAGCACUGAUGAGGACAUUAGCCAUGCAGAGACGAAAUGAGAUGUGCAUCUUUGCUUCUGAUUCCUUGUUCCAUUUAGCCAAUCCAGAAGUAACAGAAUCAUUAGCAUUGGCAGUCAAUAGUCCAAUCACGUAAUUGCAGACUGAGCUCUCUAAAGUAACAUCCCCUGCAUGAGUGGCUUUUAACAUAAAAAAGUUUCUUCCAGAUGAUUUAAGAAGGAAAAGAGAACACAACAAGCCAAACCCAACCUGAAGAUAGGCCCACAUCAAUCAUGCGUGCUUCAUCUUUAGUUGAACUUCUUCCUCGCUUUGAACCUUCUAGUUCAGCACACAUCAUCCAUGACAGGCAAUCAAUGCAUCCAUGUUGUGCUUUCAAGACUGAAGAUUCCCCAGCAGCCAUCAGAAAUCUGACUUAAAGUUUACACCUUAUGAGAGAUCAUCAAGCACUCACCAUCGUUUCUAUCCAUCGAAGGCCAAGAUAAAAUGGUAUUUAUAGUCUUCCUUAUUACACUCAUGCCAGAAUGCUUAUAUGAAUCCUCGCCUCUGACCUAUAAUCAAAAGGUUGAAAUGAUAAUUUAUAAGUUGUAAAAAGAAAUGAUAACAAAUGUGUGGACAACAUGCAUUUCCAUACCAAGAGCGAAGUGCAAAUUGUAAAAAGACAAGACUUUAUCUUCAUUGUGUCCUCAGCUGUUGCAGCAACUUCUAGUUGUGAAGAAAUUAAUGGAAUUAACACCUGCAGCAUCACCAUGGUCAGUAUUAUAGGGGUUUAAGUGUUGAAACACACAUCCACAAUGCACACCACAAAUUUUAGAAGCCUAAACCACAUCCAGUAUGAGAAAAUACAGCCAAAGCUGAAGGAGAAUCUAUCAAGUUACCUUCUCGUGCAAACUAAACUAUGGUUUCAACAAAAAUAAUUAUGAACACCAUUUUGUCAUGAGUAUAUUUGUAAGGAGCAGCAAUACUGAAAUAUAUAGUAACACAUCAAGGAAGUAAUCAAACUGACUCCGUUAAGUUCUAUUACAAUUGGUACAGCAACCUCCCCCAUCAACAUGUCCCGUUAAUAAAAGGGACUACUUAAUAGAUUGUAGAUGCACUUAUUUACAAUUUCUCAUCUAUAUUAUUGUACUCAUAAGGUAAUUUUGAACAUAGGACACAUUAUUUGCACAAUGUCAACAACUUUUAACUGUGUAAAAGCAAUAAAAAAGAGUGCAAGUAAUGCAAUACUUCCUUCAUCAAUAAGCAAGUUUUGCAAAUAAAAACAAUUCAAAAGAAAGAAAGAAAUACAUCAGGCCACCAUAACGACUAUUUGAAAUUUAAAGGCAUAAAGAAGGAUCAUGUUAGACCACCAUUCAUUUUGCAUAUAAAGUAUUUAAAGGACAGCAACAUAUUAUGGUUUUAGAGUCUCAACUUGAAAAAAUAGGACUAUUCAGGAUUGACUAAGAACUAAAGAGAGGUUAGAUACAGUAUAAAAAUGAGGAGAUUUUUCUUUUUUGAGUUUUUUUUUGUUGUGGGGGGGGGGGGGGGGAGGACAGAUGUCUCUGCAAUUGCAAGACAAAUUCUGGUAACUCACUGUUACCGCCAACUACAUGAUUCACACUAUUCAAUCAUGCUCAAUUCAAAACCUUGAAGGUAAAGUGAAGCAUGGGAUUCCUUGAACUGGCUAAUUUACUAAGGAACUCAAGUCUUGUCCAAUAAGAAUGCUGCAUUUGGCAAGACUUUGUAGCUGAGGAAACACAUUUAGGUUUUGGAAGCUGGGGCAGCGAAAAGAAUAUUCAGUAACAUGAGUUUGGGAUGCAAUGAUGAAGAGAAACAUAGGACACUUAUUGAUGGUUCUCUACGAAAUCUUACAAUUGUUCCCAACAAAAGAAGAACGUCUUCAGCCAACUUCUUUCACUACAGAUGGCUGGCAAGGCCACACUCCUGUUGAGGGAGUUCAUGUCCAUGUUGCUACCUUGCUCAGCAAGCUCCACAAAAACGUGCUUGUCUUUGGGCAAAUCUUUACAAGGCAAAAGAAUCUCGAAGCUGGUUUUUCAUCAUGCAAACGAAAUGGAAGACAGACAUUUAUAGUAUCUGCUCAUGGACAGACACUAAAUGGUUGUCUAUUCUGGUGGUCUGUGGAUUGAGAUGAAAGGACAAUUCAUAAGCUGGAGGAGUCAAUUGAAAACUGAAACUCAACACUCUCUGUAAAGCAAGCUCAGAUAAAAAUCAUUUUUGCUUCCAAUCAUAUACCAGAAUUCUUCCCCUCCCCCAGGGCUGUUAAACCUCAUCUUGUGGUGGUUUGCUAUAGUUCUACUAGCAAAUAGUACAGCAAUUGACAAGUUGCUUUGCUUCAACAACCAACCAGUCUUCCCAGUUCCGCGACGUGUAAGAAGUCCAUGACUUCAUUAUCGUGCACAAACAUUACACGAGAUUUAAAAAUGCAUCUACAUUGCACUGUAGCCAUUCCAAUCAAGAGAGUCUAUUUUCUUGAAACAACCAUCUCAUUCACUGUUUACUUAAAAUAACCAUGUUGAUCUUUGAUUCAGAGCAUAAGCAAAACCCCCUCUCUCUGUCUUCAAUUUCUACUAUUUUCAUUUUCUGUCUUAAUCAGGUAUCCACCUUAAGAUUAAGAUAAGGUCUAAUUAAGUUGCUCAUUUAACACAAGCAAUAGUCAUGCACAAACUUCACAAACUUCAACUCCAAAGUGCAAAAAUUAACACACUCCCACAACCACCAGGCAGUUCCCUUGCUCCAUAGAGAAAAGUAUGAGUCAAUUGAUCCCAUAAACAUAGUUAGAGGCCACUAACCAGUUUGAAGGUGAAAGACCCACAUUAGAACAAUAUCUUAGGCAACCAUUACCAUACAUAGGGAGUUGGAUAAUAGUUAUUGAAACCACAUGUUAGAAACUAACACCAUUCAGCACGGAUAAGGGAGUUUGGCAGGAGCGUAAAGCUAAAACAUAAAAUAAACUUUGUACUUCUUUACAUACAUGCGGAUGCAUGCGCCCGCAAAGUUCAGCUGCAAGUUUCCGAACAUCUUCGAAUUCAAACUUGUUGAACGCCCUGAAAAGGUUUAAAAUUAGAAACUUAAUAAUCUUUUUUCACAAGUAGAAGUUCCAGAAUUCUUAUUCUUAUAUACAAACCUGUCAAUUAGAAGCGCACCAAUGCAUUCAGUGUCAUCUAUGGUUAGACGUCCAGUAUCUGGAAGCAUAGAUAGCAGGAAAGCAAAUGUAAGUCCAAAGAAAUAGCAGAUGGACUACUCAUUGGUUGAAGGCAGAACAAAGUACAUAAAAGCUCAAGUUAGAACAUAUGCCAUUACCUAGUCAAAGUGAAAAAGCAAGAUGCUUAUAAAAUGAAUAAUUCAAUAUCUGAACAAUGGAUUUAUAUACCAACGAGAACAACUGCACAUUGAAUGACACUAAAUAUCUUUCUACCCAAAAAUAAAAAAAGAGGAGAGAAUAGGCAAUGUGAUAUCCACAUGGAUUAUCCUUCCGUAUCAAUAAGAAAACUGUCAAAUCUUCUGUUUCAAACUCUUUUUAGAAAAAAUGCAAGCAACAAAAGGCCGAUCAGAAAUUAUAAGAAAAGGAAAACUAUAUCAUUUUAUCCACCCAUAGAUGCGUCACACAUCACAAAGAGUUAAAUCUCUUAUUUCCAAGUAUAUCAGUCACUCAUCCUGACAGCAGGAGCGUUUCACAAGAUUAAUAGAAUGUCCAAAUAUCAUCACUACAAGCUAUCGGCCAAUGGAAUUUGUAAUUAUUUAGAAGAAAAAGGAGCACGGGCUUAAGACUAACUAUUUAUCUAUAAAAUCAUCACUCAUCACAUAGAGUUAAACUCUUAUUUCCAAGUAUAUCAGUCACUUGUCCUGACAGCAGGACCGUUCACAAGAUUAAUAGAAUGUUCGAAUAACAUCACUACAAGCUAUCGGUCAACGGAAUUUGUAAUUAUUUAUAAGAAAGAGGAGCAUGGGCUCGAGACUAACUACUAAGCACAUGCGUGUAUAUAUAUCUAUUAAAUGAAGAGGAUGAAGCACCAAAAACCAAUAGCAAGAGACAAAUCAACAGUAGACAUACCAUGCACAACACUUUCCUUCAAAUGCCCAUAAACCAAAGGAGAACUGAGAUUGUCAAAAACUUUUAGCGGGAGCAGUUUGAUUACUAGUAAUGGGCAAAGGCGACUAAAGAGAGAAUUGAAAGAAUCAACAUCUUGACAGGUCCCACUCUCCCCUUUGGAAACGCUCUCCAGAAUGCUGCCAAAGAAGGAGAUAAAUUUAAUGGAGAUAAAAACCAGAAGAGUUAACUUAAUGUAUAAAAUGUAAACGAAAAAAAAAAAGAUAACAAUAAAUUUUCCAAUGCUUUAAACAAAACAAACCAAAUGAACACAACUGUUGAUCACAUGAUGUACAGAAUGAUGAUUUGCCAAGAACAGGAUUCAAACAGUAUCAGACACAGUAACAUGUACCAAUACUUCCUCUAGUUGGAUUAGAAAGACGGCAAAUCAUGAAGCGUUUCAUGCAGAAUAACGCAUGGAACAACUUAUGCUCAAACAGAGAAAUAUAAGUGCUUAUCAGAAAAUUAAUAAUAAUAAUGAUAAAGUUAUUUCAAUGCUCUUACAUGCUAACAAAUUUUUGCCAUUUCCAUUCUACACAAAUGACACAAAAGUUACUAUGGAAAAAAAUCAGAUAUAAGGAAUUCUGCACUCGUAUUAGCUAGACAUGAUAAAAAUUUGAUGCUCUCCUCUGCUCAAAAGUUUUGGCAUUCUUUAAGGAAAUGACGCAAAAAGUGAAUCUGGAAGAACCAUGAUAGUGCAAAAAAUUCCUUCCACUAAAUAGCUACAUAUGAUAAAGCAAUACUUGCAAUAAAAGGUAGCAAUAAUAAUACCGGGUAUUAUGAAAAAAAAAUUAAUGAAAACAUAAAGCAGAGAAAUUUUGCUGAAACUAACCAAAUAGACAACCAGGAAACCGAAAAUAAGAGGGCAACUAAAAGAGAACACCUGAGCAUGUUCGGUGUAGCAAAAAUAAGAGAGAACCAAAAAUAAGAGGGUAACAAAAAUAGAACACCUGAACUAGUUUGGUGCAAAUCUAGCCAAGAAAUGCAGAUCCUAUACUAGGACAUAUGUCAUGAUUCAACAUUAGUGGUUCACCAAGUUACAUUAUCUCAAUAAGAGACAGGCCAACCAGAUUUUUUUUUUAAAAAAAAAGGGAACUCCAAUUUCAAAUCGCACUUGUUGAAUUGUGAAGUUGAUACAGUUCCGGUUUAGGUCAUUUCAGCUGAUGAAUGAUCUUUGAUGCAUGAGAUCCAGAGACAAAGCUUUGAGAGCUCAUAUGGCUCCAUUCUAAAUUAUCAAUUGUCGGAUUUGAUACAGAUUUAUAAAGCAGUAUUACAGCAAGAAAGAGACUGAAAAUUGCCCAGAACCCUAUUGAGCACCAUAGACCUAUGUAAACUGAGUUCAGAAAGCACUCAACUAGAACUAACCAAACAAGGACCUAGCCGCUCCCUUACUGAAGACCAAAUGUGGUUAAUAACUGAAUCACUAAAGCUGCUGGCAGGAAAAUCUUUUAUACCAAAAUUUGUAAAUCAGUUUCUAGCAAUUCAUCAACCAACCUGAAGCCAUAUGCAGAGAACCUAAAACUGGAACAACAGUUCUAAUCGAUCUAAUCUUCUUCUAUUCAGGUCCAUAGAUAGUAACAUAAACCUAGGAUUACAAACCAAAUGCAACAGAAAAUAGCAGCUCCUAAGGUAAUGAUACUUUUUGAGAAAACAAAUGAUUACUACCAACUUCAGGGAUAUGAUUCCCAUGGAUCAGAUUGAAGAAUUGUGAAACAAGAUAAACAUACUUGUUCUGCCCUUUUGUGUACAGGAGAAGUUGAUCAAAGACCAAAUCAGCCAAGUCUGCCAGGUGUUCGCUGAUGUAACUGAGAGACCGCACAAUAACUGCGUUUGAUGGCUCUGCAAAGAGUUUGUCUAACAAUGCACUGAUCAUCACGUUCCAAUCUUCAACCUGAAAAUUUUCAUUCACCUAAACUCAUUUACACUGGAAAUCCAAAUAUAAGCACUUCAACAUUUGGUGCAAAAGGCAACGGAAAAGGAAUCAUACAAGUCAGUAUUGCCAAAACAGGUGCUAUGCAACUAUCUGACAACCUUUGGUAUUCUACCUAUGUGAACAUUUUGAGCGAAUGCAUGUGCCCAACAGAUUUUCAGCAAAAAAGCUGCGUACAGUAUUACUCAAUAUUUUUUAUGAGAAAUGAAUGGAAAGGAAAGGGUGCAGGAACUGCAAUUUUGAUGCUAACUUCAAAAAAUAAAUAAAUUACCAAAAGGGCAGUAUAUGAAUGAGAUGGGUAGCACUUGAAAGAAAGAAGCAUAAGAAGAAUAUGGAUGGAAAGUAAUGGAUAAGAGACCAACCCACGAGUGUGCUCAUGUGCUUUAGGGACUGUAAACAGUGUAUGUCACACUUGUUUAGGAUAAAAAGCUACAGUAUGCUGAAUCAUAAGAUGCUCAGAAACAAAUAAAAGCUUCUUAGCCGUAAAUGGAAAACAUGCCUAAAGAAUUGCAGAAGAUUGAUGACAGUUCUAAGAGGAAAAAGCAUCUUUCAAGAGGACGAAGAUGAGAGAGAGGCUGGGAGACCUUCACAUUGGCAGCCAGAAAGGCCACACUGUAACCGAUAAACAUACAAAAUGGGACUUACAAGCAACAAGUGAUGGAAACCAAGAAUCUCUCAAAGCCUAAUUUUCACAAACGAAAACCAUUAACUUGCAGAAAACAACUGAGAUUAUACAAGUUAACCAAAACGAAGCCAAUGAAUUGGCUGCAGAACUCAAAUUUGAAAAAUUCAGACUUACACGCGGGAGAGAGAGAGAUAGAGAGAGAGAGAGACGAUAAAUGAAAUGGAACAUAGCAUCAUAACUCAUCCGAUACAGUUGCAUCUACUCCAUGAUCUAUUUACAGCUUCAGAUCAUUAGUCAGACAGAGAGGUUAAAUUUUCCCCUAAUCAUGCCCUAACUUCUUUGCAACUCUCUACUUGUUUAUAACUCUAUCCUACAUAACACUACCAAAUUUGAGAGUUCCAUAGAUAGAAGCACCGUGGCUUGUGCAAAAACAAGGAUCAUAGAGUUAAGAAACCAAGCAGCCAGAACUAAAUUUUACUUGACAGAUAAACCAACAAGAGGUAUUCCGCGCUGGUUACAAGAUGGAAUCGUGUCCUGUCCUACAACCAAGGAAAAUUUUUAAAGUCUUUGAAUAUGAAAUUUAGUCCUUGCCAUGUAUCAUGUAUCUACAUAAACUAUGCUUCAGCGUUGUACAAAGACCUCAAGUUUCCACAAUACAAAGAACUAUGCAUGUUGAUUGUGAAUUCCUCUCUACAAUGUAGAAAUGCAGAAAAGCAUUGCAAGAUGCUAUUAAUGCAUCAUCAGAUAUUCAGAUGUUAUUUGUGCACUAGGCCUUAGGAUUUUGUCCUUGAGACACCUUAAAAGGUGUGACAAUGUGAUAUCUGACCCUACUUCCAUACAUCACCACAACCUCCCAUUCAAGGAUGGCUGCAUGAAAAAGCCAUUACCCUAUAAUAUGUACUUCUCUUCUGGUGAUCAAAUACAUGUAAAUAGAUGAGAUAUCAUCCACAUUAUCCUAUUUCAAUCCACAACUUUGUCCUUUAAAAACACACAAGCUUCACCCUUUCACUAACAAUAUGGAAGGCAUGGUCUCCAUACAUCAUGCAAUUUUUUAAGCAAACCAAUUACAUAGUACAUUCAAAUUUCUGGAUAAACAAGCUCAAAUGCACAUUAUCUUCUGUGAUCGUGAGAUGUCUCCAAGGCUCAGGAAAACAGUCAGAGUGAAUAGUAAGAAAAGCACAUGAAAUGGCCUAAUUGGCACAAGGCAAUGUGCCAUCCAUGAAAGGGGGCAAGUCAUGGCUGGCGCUAUGUGCUAAAUGGCAAGCAGCCUGACUGCAACGUUAUGUGAAAUCGAGCAAUCGAUACGAAAGGUUACAACAAAAUUAACUGUCAUUUGAAAGGGCAUGGGCAUCCUUCUUGGCACUAAAUAAGUAGGAUCCCUGUCGCAGGUCAAAUUUUUGGUUUAUAUAAGAGGUAGGGAAAAAAGAAAAGACAGAUCUAGCACUGAGUCAAACACAGCAUCAACCCAAAAGAUUAAAUGUUGUUCUGAGUUUCUUCCACUUUUCAGACAGGAAGCGAGAAUUGUACGACUGCUAUUGCACUACAUAGACAAGAUGAUUAUAACACAAUAUAUACUUUAACGGCAUUAGCAUACAUCAAGGAAAACCUUUAGCAUCAACAACCCCAUUGCAAUUUAAAUUGAUGGGUAAGGAAGUGAGAAAAGAAGCUACCUAAAAAUAAAAAGAACAUAAGCAACAAACUAUACUAAGUACAUAUGAAAAACACUUUAAAGAUUACAGGAUAACAAACUUACCAGUUUUGACCACUCUGGUAACAGCUUUAGCACCCUAUCACUGUCCAAUUUUGCUCCUAAUAGAAUAAAAACAAAAACACACUUUUGAGAGGGCGAAAGAAACAAAGAGGUAAGCAAAUAAGCACAAAACUAAUUGGUAAGAUAAGUCCCUUUUUCUCAUUAUUACCAUGUGCUUGCCUAGAGAACUUUGUUCAAGUAGCAUUAUUUGGAAUCAUUAAUUCUUCACUGAUGUUAAAAACGCUUACCAUAGAAAGUGAACAAGUUCUAAAGCAUAGGAUUCAAUCAUAGGCUCACUUACAUUAAUUCAAAAGCAAGAAAAACACAAGUAUAUGCAACAGAGCCACUCAAUCUAACAUCAAGUGCCAAUGUUUUACUUCACCACACAGGAACUGGAUAUAAAUAUUGAACAUGGUUCAACAAACAACUUGACCAAAAUUCCCUGUCCAACAAGAACAAGCUCAAGCUCUGCAGAAAUCUGAUUAUACUUCCCAACAUGAAGUCCAUCUCCAUUCAUCGUCCCAAUAGACACGAACUCACAGUGUGUUUCAGCACUAAGAACAUGCUACAAGUAAUUCUCAAGCAUACCCAAUUGAACUAUCAAACUGCAGCUGGAAAAAUACUUCAGACAUAUGCCAGAUGCAUCUAUGAUGUUAUGGAACAAAGUCAAUAAAGAAGAACCGUACACAGAAAUUUCUCAAGAUACAAACUGAAAAUGAACAACCUACAACAAAGGCAGAGUACCUGGAGCCAAAAAGAUAUGGAGACAGUACAAAACACGGUACCAGAUGAAGAAAAGAGGCACAGUAUCCAAACAUAGCUACAGGUAAUGACAACUAGCCAUCAGUACUCCUUAGAGCUCUAGUAUUCCCCAGUCUACAAAUGCCUAACAGCACAUAGAUUAACCUUUAAGUUCACUGAUGGGAGACAUCAAUCAGGAUUAGCUGGUUUCUUACAGUUAAGGGUUUUAAGAUAGAGAAGGGGCUUUGCAUUUCAAUAUUGUGGCAACACCCUUUCCUAAAGCAGCCCAUGGUGCCUUCCUUCUUACUAUUCUUCGUACUCAGAAUGGUGCCCAGCCCUCUAAUUCACACCCAGACAUAGGCAAUAUACACCACCUACAAUUUAAGUGUGGUGUUGCAUCAUGCAACAAUUUUAUUAUUACAGCAAAGUAUGUAACAUCUCAUGGCACUGUGUCCACCCAAACAUUUUCUUUGAAAAUAUAGUCGAUGACUUUUCUUUAAUCAGUUACCUAAUCAUCAAGACCUACGAUGGCACUUAGUAGCAUCUCACUUCCAUUAUGACUAAUGAUCUUUAAGAUCAACAAAGAAUCACAGUACAUAUCACACACGUUCCCUUGAUCAAAAGGCAAAAAGAAGAUAUAUUAAGAAAGGAACAAAAACCAAAAAACAAAGAAAAAAUGAACACCUUGUGCAUCUCCUGUGGCAUCAGGAUCUGAAGUGUUGCAGAGAUUGCUGCACAUGUCAAUAUUAACCAUUAUGAAAGUACAUACAAAAAAGAAGAAUACACUUUGAAAGCUAGAAGUUCCGGCAUAGUGCUUUGUAAAUUCUUCCAUUUCUCUUUUUUCCCUUUGUUUGCUUUCUAGUUGGGUGGAGAGACAGAGACGCAAAGUUCAUCAUUUAGACAUCCAAACUCCAAAUUAGAAAUGAUUAAACAAAUUAAAUGAUAUCUUGUAAAUUGCAUGAUAUUGGACAUGCCUCAAAAGUAAUCUAUAAAGUCUAUUGAUAGAAAGAGUAAUUGCAAAGAGAAAUAUUAUCUAAAGUACAAAGUAGACACUUCAAAAGCCUUAGCCACAAGUGCAGAAUUUCAGAUUAAUAAUUUCAUUGGCGCCCAAAAAUAAUAAUAAUUUCAUUGGCUCUUUUGAUAAUAAGAUGAAUACAAAUAUCUUUCUAUUAGAUUAAGCUUUAGAGGCAAAGUAUGUCAAUGAUAUUAAUGCUAAAAACAGAACAAACCUAACACGUUUGCCCUUCUUCUCCCAAGAAGUCUUCUUAUUAAAGCAAAAAACUACAUGAUUGGCCAAUAAACAUACAAAUUACUAAAAAAAAAAGGUUUCCUGUUUUGCCAAUUCACUUUACAGCAGCCAGCUCCUCCUUGAUUUUUGGAUUCAUUCAAUGCAUCCCAAAAAGAAAAUGUACUCUCUGAACACACUGUGCUUUUCAGGGUGAAAGAUAAGAAUAGGCAGAAAUUAUUGAACCUUAAUUGCAGCAAAAAGAUUGAUGCAUACCCAAGACAAUCAAGCAGCAAGCACAAUACUUCAGGUUCUUCCUUGUGAGUUUUCAGCACUACUAAUAACGUCUCACUUGCCAAGGACUGUACCCUUUCAUUUGAUGUGUAAAUAAGACGAACUAGAGCAGGCAAAGUUAGUGAUGGAUCUGCAGAAAUAAAGAAUAGAUUGAUCAAUGAAUACAAGCCGAGAGGGACAUCCGACAACUUCAAGAAAUAUGGGAGUUUGGACCACAUUACAGAAAAGUUACAUCUUCUUUGGCUUUCAUCUUGGUGCUGUCUACAAAUCAAUAAAUGAUGUUCCCUAACCCAGAGGGAAAAAAACUCAACAAAAAGAACAUAUAGGAGAAGCCAGGAUCCACACUCUAAACAAAUUGAAACAAGUUAACAGGAUUCUACAAAAGAGGAAGCAUAACAUUGUGAUUGAAAAGAUUGCCAAGGAGAAUGCUGAAAAUGGUAAAAAAGGGACAACGGAUUAUAAUUUGGUGCCUGGAUGUUAUAACUACAAGUGAUUCCUCCAAUCUGGUCUUAGAAAUGCAUAGGCAAAAUAACUAGCUUCAAAAUUUUUAAAAGAACACUUGUCAGACCAUGAGAUUCCAGACUUAGAAGAGCGGGAAAAAAAAAAGUACAUGAUCAAUAAUUCUUUGUGAAAGUUUAUUCAGAAGCAUAAAGUUACAAGGUCUUAGGCAUCAAGGGACAUGUGAUGUUAGAAUAUUGCUUAGGAUUUAGCUUAUUUAUCUUCUAUAAUUACCAAGAUAUUAAUCACAUGAAUGGAUAAACUAAACAAGCCAUAAUGCCGUAACCAUAUACAGCUCAUUGAACAACCAGAACAAAAUUAAAAGGCAAUUAGAUAACCAAUCCUAUUUAAAAAAAUUACAUUGCACAGGCAUUGUAGUCCUUGCAGCUCCAUACAAGAAAACGAGAAGCAGACUUUAAAAAAGAAAAAGAAUCAUCAAAACAUUGAAAUGUCGGAACAUGAACAAUUGUUGUCUUCCAAAGGAAUGAGGAUAAACCAAAGCAAAGACAAGCCAGCAGAGGAAAUUAGUAAAUGUUGGAAGGAGAAACAAACUAAAAGAUCAAGCGCUGCUGAACAGAAUUAGGUAACAUAGAAAGAAGGACAUUCUUCAAGCCCUCUGGCUUUGGGCUUAGUGACAUAACAUGACAUGCUACUUCUUUGAUGCUUCAAAGAGUUGACAACAAACAAAUGUCAUAUUCAAGAACCAUUAAUAGUGAAACCUGGGCACGAGGCGAAAUCUCUACUAUAAUAUCCCAAAGCUUUUUCACCAAGAUGUGAAAAUAUAAAUUUUAAAUAAACAAAUAUAACCCUUAACUCUCCAAAUAUUUGAUUUGCACCAAAUAGUAAAUAAAUAAAAUGAUUAAAAAAAAUGCUCCAAGUUUGAAAAUGCACUUCAAUGUUUUCAAACUGACCAAUUACAGGAAGCAGUGCAGAUGCUCGUGUUCGAAUAACUAGUUCUUCAUCACCAAGGCAUUCCAACAAGUGAUCUGCUAUAUCUUGCCUGUGAAUUCAGAAAGACCGAAGUGUCAAUUAAGGAGUUGAGGGGGGAGGGGGGAAUGCUAAAAACCCUUCACAAAAGUCUUGUACCACAUCUGAUCUGAAAGUGAGCUACUAGACUCUAAUGAUAUGUCUAUAAGAUCUGAGAUAACAUCAAUAGCAUUCAUCCUCUGUGGAAAGUUUCCAGAAGUCAGCCCUUUCAGAACAUUUUGGAGACGACAAUUGUCUGAGCGCCUGGCAUGUACAAAUGAGGAAGAAAGCUUAGAAGUUCAAACCCAAAAUGAAUGUCAAAGGAAGUGAAUCAGGAAACUUAGUUGGGCCUACACAGAACAAUAUUCUGCAACAAGCUUGACAACAGCUUUUGCAGCACUAUCCUGCUCAUCCAGAAGAUGUAUUAACAUUGGCAGAACAGAAUCCAUCUCUCUCCUAUUGGCAUUAUAGUCCCCAGAUGAAGUAUACUGCAUCCUAAAGAUGGCAGCUUUGAAGAUGUACACAGCGCUAUCAAUUACUUCCACAUCAGCACAGCGAAACUACAAAAAAUCCAACAUAUUAGUUCCACUAACAAGUUUGGUAGAUUCCAAACAGCAUAGGACUUCUCUAUAUCUCCACAUAGGGGUUCAUAAUUGUAUCCAUUUAAUCAACUUCAAGCCAAGGUAUAUGAUAUAUUAAAGCCACAGGAGCAAUUAAUAACCAGAGGGUCAAAAUCAAAGUAGCAAAUUUACUCUUGCAAUUGGUUUCCGGUUUCCACAAUUCAGGUAAACAACUAAUAUGCUAUAACAAGCAUUUUAAGUUUAUGUUGAUGUUAAAGAAGCUUUUCCAUGCAGAGGGUCAAUUCACUUGGGUUCCAUUCAUCAUGUAGAAAAUUUUCCCACAAGGUCCAUAUCAUCUUUCUGACUCCUUUCCAUCACAUAAAUCAUUAACUCAGGGUGUUUCAAAACACUUUAGGACCUUUCCACUAACAACAGAAAGGUCAAGGUGUGACUCAAGCUGUCACAACAUUUCCCAGACUUUGUGAUACAGCACCAGUUUAACUGUUGGGAACCUUUGAAGCAUUCAAAUGCUGUAUAAUGUCAUUUAAUUGUUCCUCCAAGCAUUUCAGAGACCAUUUCAAGAAAGUUCAAAAAGUUUCUUACCAAUGGGAAACGACCCACUAGAUUUCAAAUGCUUUAUUGAGAUUUCUACAAGCCAUCCGUGGGUAACCCCAACUAAGAACUGCUUUAAGCAAGUCAACUAGUGUCUCAUUCAUCAUUUGACCACAUAAAAUGAGUCAAUAACUAGAAGCAUUCGUUAGAUAAAAUCAUCAUGACACCUAAAAAAUAUUCUGCAAAGAAAUUUUUAAGGUGAUGAAUAAAUUUAACCACAAAAAGAUGAUAAUUAAGAACUGCUUUAAGCACGUCAAACAGUGUCUCAUUCAUCAUUUGAGCACAUAAAAUGAGUCAAUGACUAGAACCAUUCGUUAGAUAAAAUCAUCAUGACACCUAAAAAAUAUUCUGCAAAGAAAUUUUUAAGGCGAUGAAUAAAUUUAACCACAAAAAGAAGGUGAUAAUUAAACAGAGGAAGCUAAAUUAAUUUUUCUUUUGCAAUCUUCUUUUUUAACUAUGAAAUAACUCCACUAGAUGUCAAUACUCUGCACUUGCAGUGCAUAUAUGGAUAACUGAACUAAUCUACUUACCGACUCCACUAGAUAUUCAAUACUCUGCACUUGCAAAACAUAUUCGCAACUAAACUAAUCUACUUACCAACUAAAACGUAUCUUCCAUAAACAUGGUCCACAAAUCAGGACUUUAGACUGUUAGGAGAAUAUAAGUAUUCUUGUAGAUAAUAAAUUAAUAAGGGUAUUCUUGUAAAUAGAUUGUUAGGUUUUUACUCCUAUAAAUACUAGUUGGUCACUCAUAAUACAGUGACUAGAUGUUUUCCCUCCAAAAUACUUGUUCUCAUGAUAUCAGAGCUAAAGUCCUAGGGUUAGGGUUAAACAUCUAGCAAGAGUCUUGUUCGCGCGAUAUUGUUUAUCGCAUUAUUGUUCAUCACAUACUGUUCAAGCGACCGUUCAAAAAAAUACUGUUCACACGAUACUGUUCACUCAUAAUGUUCAUCACAACUGUUCAAAAAUACUGUUCAUGAGACACUGUUCAUCAUGACUGUUCACUGUUCAUCUCGAGUUUUGAUCCUUUUUUUUGGUUUGAAGUGCUAUUCGCUAUGGUUGAAAGUUUUGCUAAUGUGGUUACUAUUGACCAAGUUGAAUCAAGUUCUUCAGCACAUGAGUCCCAGAAGACUUUUAUUAUAUCCGAGGAAGAUUAUAUUAAAUUCCUACAGUACCAAGCUACAAAUCAUGCAUCUCUUCCCUCUGCUUCUUUAGCACAAAAAGGUAAUGACUUAUGGAUUAUUGACUCCGGAGCUACUGAUCAUAUGUCAGGUACCUCUAAAAAUUUUUAUAAUUUUCAAGUCUACUUCCUUUUCUCAUAUUACUUUAGCUGGUGGAUCUACCACUAAAGUUAAAGGACUAGGCAUUGUAGAAGUUAACCCAUCUCUUCCGCUGUCUUCUGUUCUUUAUGUACCCAAUUUGCCCUUUAUUCUAAUGUUUGUUAGUAAGCUCACUAAAUCUCUAUAGUAUUCAGUUACUUUUUCUCCUGAUUUUGUUGUCAUUCAUGAUUUGAAGACAAAGAGGACGAUUGGUGGAGGGCAUGAGCAUAAUGAUCUUUAUUUUCUCAACUCCAAUGGUCCGAUUGCAUGUCUUACUACUGUUCCUCCUCUUGAAAUUCACUGUCAUUUGGGUCAUCCGUUUUUAUAAAAUUUGAAAAAGUUGGUUCCUACUUUGAGUCAGUUGUCUUCGUUAGAAUGUGAGUCUUGUCAGUUAGGAAAGCAUCAUCGUGUUUCUUUUGCUCCUAGAGUCAAUAAACGAGUUUUUGAACCCUUUAUGCUAGUUCAUUUUGAUGCUUGGGGUCCUAGUCGAGUUGCUUCAAAGUUAGAUUUUAAAUUUUUUGUAAUCUUUGUUGAUGAUUUUUCAAGAGUUAGAUGGCUUUAUUUAAUGAAAAAUUGUUUAGAACUAUAUUUCAUUUUUUGUGUAUUUGUUACAGAAAUAAAGAAUCAAUUUGAUGUGCCUGUACAUAUACUUCGCAGUGAUAAUGUGAUCCUUUUAAUACCUUUAUGACUAAAUCCGGUAUUAUUCAUCAGUUCUCCUAUCCUCACACUCCACAACAGAAUGGAGUUACUGAAAGAAAAAUUGGACAUUUAAUCGAGGUUGCUCGACACUUUUGUUGCACAUGAAUGAUUGAAUGUGCCCAAACAAUUUUGGAGUGAUGCAUUUCUAACUGCAUGUUAUUUAAUUAAUCGCAUGCCAUCUAAUAUUCUUGGAGGCCAAUUACCUCACUUCGUUCUUUUUCCUCAUGAAUCUGUGUUUAAAUUACCUCCUCGUAUUUUUUGAUGUAUGUGUUUUGUUCAUCAGCUAGCUCCCGGGGUGGAUAAAUUAGAUCCUCCUGCUAUUAAGUGUAUUUUCUUAGGAUACGCACGAGCGCAAAAAGGGUAUAGAUGUUACAAUCCAAUUUUAAAUCGAUUUUUUACUUGUGUUGAUGUUACUUUCUUUGAAUCCACUCCAUAUUUUAUGAAACACGGUGUGCCUCGUGAGUUAGACCAGUAUCCGUCUUUUUCCUCUCCUGUUUUACCUGUCCCUUUCUCUUUAUUACCUGAGUUAUCUAGUCCACCAGAUUCCAUAGCUCGAUUAUCUCGUCCUAAUUUUCAAGUUUAUUCUCGUCGUUCCAUGGUUAAGCAAGUUUCUAAUAUGUCACGCACUUCACCAAUUAACUCUCAACCUUCAAAUCCAGGUAUGACGCCCUCCUCUGAGUUAGAUCUUCCUAUUGCUUUACGCAAAGGUAAGAAGCAUUGUACUUCUCAUCCUAUUUUUAAUUUUGUUUCUUAUUCUCGUCUCUCUAUGUCAUAUUCUUCUUUUGUUGCUUCUCUUGAUUCUGUCUCUAUUCCUAAGUUUAUUACUCAUGCUCUUAAUCACCCUGAUUGGAGAUUAGUUAUGCAAGAAGAGAUGUCUGCUUUGGAACAAAAUAGUACUUGGGAUCUUGUCCCUCUUCCUUUUGAUAAGCCUGUUGUUGGUUAUAAAAGGGUGUACACUAUAAAAGUGCAGCCUAAUAGUUUUAUUGAUAGAUUGAAGGCUCGUGUGGUAGCUAGAGGAUUUACUCAGGUGUAUGGAAUAGACUACUUAGAAACAUUUUCUCCUAUUGCAAAGAUUACCUCGGUUCGUCUUCUUAUCUCUUUGACAGCAACUUAUAAUUGGCCAUUACAUUAGUUGAAUGUGAAAAAUGCAUUUCUACAUGGAGAUUUGGAAAAAGAGGUAUAUAUAUAGAAUAACCUCCUGAUUUUGUUGUUCAGGAGGAGAAUUCGCGAUUGGUUUGUCGUUUGAAAAAAUUCUUAUAUGGAUUGAAACAGUCUCCGAGGGUUUGGUUCGGCCGGUUUAGUAGUGUUGUCAUGGAAUUUGGUCUGACAAGAUGUGAAGUAGAUCACUCUGUAUUUUAUCGGCAUUCUAAUGCUGGUAAAAUCUUAUUAGUUGUUUAUGUGGAUGAUAUUGUGAUUACAGGUGAUGAUGCUGUGGGGAUCCAGAAACUUAAAUCCAAUCUGUAGGCAAACUUUCAAACAAAAGAUUUAGGUCAUCUACAGUAUUUUCUGGAUAUUGAGGUAGUUCGGUCUAAAUAUGGGAUUUAUUUAUGUCAAAGAAAAUAUGUACUCAAUAUGCUGAGUGAAAUUGGGAUGUUAGGUUGCGACCUGUGGAUACUCCUAUGGAUCCUUAUGUAAAAUUAGUAGCAGAUCAAGGUAUAUUACUAGAUGAUCCUAAGCAAUAUCGAAGACUUCUGGGUAAAUUAAAUUAUCUCACUGUAACGAGACCUGAUAUUUCGUUUGUAGUGAGUGUUGUGAGUCAAUUUCUUGAUACCUCUCGUACUAGUCAUCGGAAUGCUAUUAUACGGAUUCUCAAGUAUCUUAAGAAUGCUCCUGGAAAAGGGUUGCUGUAUAAAAUCAUAGACACACUGAUGUUGAAGGAUAUAGUGAUGCAGAUUGGGCUGGUUCUGCUUCAAAUCGAAAAUUGACCACAGGAUAUUGUGUGUUUGUUGGCGGUAAUUUAGUGUCGUGGAAGAGUAAGAAGCAAACAGUUGUCUUCAAAUCAAGUGUAGAAUCUGAAUACCGUACUAUGGCUCACGCUCUGUGUGAGUUGGUUUGGUUGAAGAGCGUGUUACUUGAAAUUGGGUUUGAACAUAAACAGCCUAUGAAUUUAGUGUGUCAUAAUCAGGCGGCUGUUCAUAUUGCGUCUAAUCCAGUGUUUCAUGAAAGGACAAAACAUAUUGAAGUUGAUUGUCAUUUCUUUCGAGAAAAAUUGCUUGACAGAAUUAUCAAGACGUCUCAUAUACCGUCUGUAGAUCAAUUGGCUGAUUUGUUUACCAAGAGUUUAGGGAAUUCUAGGAUGAAAUACAUUUGUAACAAGUUGGGUGCUUAUGAUAUAUAUGCUCCAACUUAAGGGGGAGUGUUAGGAGAAUAUAAGUAUUCUUGUAGAUAAUAAAUUAGUAAGGGUAUUCUUGUAAAUAAUUUGAUAGGUUUUUACUCCUAUAAAUACUAGUUGGUCACUCAUAAUACAGUGACUAGAUGUUUUUCCUCCAAGAUACCUGUUCUCAUAGACAACAAUACUUUUCAACACAAUGCAAGCGAAAUAGUUUCCCAUCUUAUCCUAAAUCUCUUUUAAAUAGUGUCUUUAUUUUUUCACAAAAUAUUAUUAUUUUAUGUUAUUAAUAAUCGCCCAUUGCCUUUCUCAAAGAACAUUAGUAUAACUAAGACGUCAAGUUCUCUAAGAUAUUUGUUUUUUCAAUGUAGAAGCAGUAGCAUACGGGAGUUCAUAUAUGUAAAAGUAUGGAAAUGAGAGUUUCCUGGCAAUUCUUGCAGAGGAAAGGCAGACAGAAUAUCAAAAGCACUCUUAACGCAUAUAAUCACAUAACAAGCUUCAUGCUUAAGUCAUCAGAGUUUUUGUAAGCCCAUUUAAAACAUCCAUAAUUUUUUUGUUUUCAUCAAGACUGUUAAUCCUUAAAGAUAGGAAAGCAAUUGAAAUUUAGUCUUUUCCUACAAAGUAACUUUUUUUUAGGGUUUUUGGGGGUGGGGGAAGGUUGGGGGGAGGGGAGAAAAAUCUAUAAUUAAAAGGAAUUUCUUUUGAGCUUGCAUACAUUUGUAUUUAAAUGUUUCUUUAACUUAAUAAAUGGAUCAAAAACUUAUAGCCUGACACAGAAUCCCUGCUUUUGGCAGGCAACCCUUCCCUCUUCUGCUUUUAAAGAUAGGGAAGCUGAUAACAUGCAUGAUGAAAUAAUUGCUUCAGUUUGGUAUCAUCAAAUGCUACCUGGGAAAUAAGAACCUCGGACAGCAGGGAUCCAUUUUCAGCCAGUGCAGUUUCAAGUUGCUUCUCAUGUAACCGACCUAGCAGAAGAGAGAGGCAGUUCAUAAAGAACUUUAUGGUCUCAAUUGCACUAUCUUUAUCUGCAGCAGGUCCAUGGGCAUGGUUGUCUGCAUAAAACUGCAUUAACAAACGCCAAAGAUUAAAAAGGGAAAAAUGUAUGCAAGAGAAGAGGAGAGAUCUCAGAUACUUGUACUAGGAUUACUGUGGUGCCAUUUACCUUAAUUCCAGAUAAGUACUCAUCCAACAAUCCUUUGUAUUGGCGAGAAAAGUUGCAAUCUUCCAAGUGUGACAGCAUGCCAUAAUGUUUCCAACAAGAUGAGAGAAGCAAUACUCCAGUCUUCAACAUUUGCAUGUCUGCCUUCAACAUUGUCAGGAUACAAAUGGAGCAGAAAUUAAAAGAAGAAAAAAAUGAUGAGAAAAAUUUAACAAACUUGCUAACCGCCUGCCUCAUUUUGACAGCAAACAUAUCGUGUUUGAGUGGCCUGUAACCACUUAAAUACCCUCUCCAACCCCCUUGAAUGCAAUGACCUGCUUUUUCUGCUCCACUGUAUACAAUAAAAGCUCUAUUGAGAGACUUUUAAUCUUUCAAAUGGUCAACAAGUAAGCAACUCAAAACCUAUAAAGGUACAAAUAACAAACACGAACCAACCCGAAUUAAAAAAGAUUGGGUGCAUAAUUCUUGGCAAUUCUCGGCAUCACAAGAGAAUAACCAUAGCCAAAUAAAAAUAAAACUGUCGAAUAUCAUCUAAAAUAGCACCAGAAACAAAAAUCAACUUCGAUUUCUCAUGUAGGCUAAGAUGAUAAGAAUAAAACUCAGCCCGACUCUUGUUUCUCCUAUUAAUUCCAAACUCUUGAUUAGCAACUUGCAUGGUAAUCAAGGCACUUAACUACCUUUCCACAAAUCCUAAUGACAUUUUAAAUUUGUCCUCUACUGUUUCUAUCAAAACCCAGAUUCUUUAAGAAAACGUUUGCCAAAUUAUUAAAAAACUGCCGGUACUAAAGAAAAAGAUCCUCCAGAUCUUAUUGCAAGACCUGAGGGUGUUUGAUUACCCCAUUAAGUACUUAAUGAAAUAAAUGUUGUGUUUAAUAACAGAAUUCUCUUACCUCUGAAUACAUUAAGAGCUACAAUCUGCACAAAACUUUUAAGUGAAACUUUUGCCAAUAAAUUUGCUGAAUUUUCAAACCAAUAUAGCAGCAUUGACUGAAAAAUACCAUAUCACACACCCUCACACUUUCAAACGUGGGUUCUCUCUCUCUCUCCCCCCCCCCCCCCCAACACACACAUUCAUAAAUUGACAUAUACUCUUCUCCCUCUCUCAGAAAUACACGUUUCCUUCUCUAACACACACUUUCAAACAUAAUCUCCCUCUCAUGCACAGAAACAUGAAUUUUUCUUCUCUCAAAGCACACAUUUUUAAACACAUAGUCGUAAUAAACAAACAAACUUUUUAUCUAUUAGUAUUUAAGUUAUUGGUAUAAAAAAUUAAUAUCAAAACAAAACUAAUUUAAUAUAAAAUAAGCAUCAAAUUGGUGUUAACCCAUAUUAUAUGCUUGCAAUUCAGCUGGUUAUCAAACAGAUAUGAAUUAAUGAAUUCAGAAAAUUAAUACUCCAGCACUCAAAUUUCAGAGUCAGAUCUCAACCUUCUAUUUUCAGUUUUACCAAAUGCCCUAUAAUCAUCAGACAGAACUUGUCAACUAAUAAAUACAUAUAUCAUAUUAUAGCAUGAAACUUUUCAAUUAAAAACUUCAUAAACCGUUUUAUAAUUUCAAUCAAAGCCCAAAUUCCUCAACGAAUUACUUAACAAGUAUAUCAAACAACUUGCUAGUGAAGAAAAAGAUCCUCCCAUUAGAAGACUUAAAAUCAUCCAGAACUUGUAGAUUAAAAUCUUCAUAGACAGUUCCAUAGCAUGGUUCUUGAUGUUCAACAAUUACAAACUACAAGCAUUCAUACAGAACUUGGCAAUUACGAACUUCAUAUGCCAUCUUUUAACAUGAUCAUGUUAUGGCACUUCAUCAUCAACGAUUCAUUAAACAUGCACCUGUAGAGGUAUCGGCCAAUCUCAAAAACAUCAUACGCUAUCUCUCAAAUUUUAUAUUCUCUUUUUCAGAAGUCUAAAGCACCACUUUUCAAAUCAUUUGUUAUAUUCUACUAAGCAUAAAAAGUAGAGAUGAAAAUGAGCACAGAUUCAUGCAAAAAACUACCAAACAUGGUCAAGAUAUGAUAAAAAUUUGCUGUUUGCAAAAUGAGCUGAAAACAUACUGCUUUAAGCCUCCCAACAAGAACAAUCAGGUCGUCUAUAUGAUCCCAAAGCGACAAUUUUGGUCCCAUGUCCUUCAAGAUUACCAAAGCUUUUGUGUCUACCUUCACUUUUUCCUUGUCAGAAUCAACAUUUAGUAAAGAAACUGGCCGACCUCGAGAAUUUGAACUAAUUAGUUUUCCCUUGUCAUAGUCGGAUACCAGAUCCUUCCUUGUAAGUGCUACUGUAAGCGACAAAAUAAAAUCAGCUGAAGCAAUUGCAAGUCGAGUUGGAACCUCAAAUCCCCCCUGCAAAGUGCUAUACAGAAAGUGCUCAAACAUUACAAUUACAACCCAUUACACAAAAGCUAAUGAACUUAACAUAAAUUUGCCACUCAAGUAUUUGAACAUAGGAUAUAUAGCAUACCUUCCACUGCUUAUAAGGGUUGAAAGAUGUCUGAUACACGAACACAGAAUCUUCAAUAGUGCAGUGUACUUCUCCCAUAUUCCUGCAUUAGAAAAUAAAUUAACCUCUAUGGCUCUUUUUUUUUUUAAUAAAAGCAUCAAUGGCUCUAUCAAUUGCAAAAAGUGCAGUAGGCAUCUCAGUCAUCAAAAUGAAUUUCAAAUUUGCAUGAUGCUAAACACAAUGGCAUGGCCAUUGUAACUUUAAAUAAUAACAGUCCAAUCAUAACCAGUUUGCAUGACUUUUUGCACAACUUUGGAUCCUUCAGCUGAGUUGUUAGAUUCUCUCAUUAUUACUUUACAACCCAACACUUUGCUGUGCAUUGAAACUUAAGCAUGGCGACAAAACCAAACACCCUUCCAGUAAGGAAAUCAUCUGUUUUCAAUACUUUCGUUUUAUUUUAUUCUUUUAUCAUUUUACUACUAUUCUGAAACCAUAUGGUAUUAAACAUUUACAGCAAUCUGAAACCCUAUUAUCAUGCAUCAUGAAGUUAGUCUCACUGUUGCCUCAAUCCUCAUAUUUAACAAUCAGAAUUAACAAUCACAGACAUCACUCAGCAGCCAGCAAAGACAUCUAGCUCCACCACCAUUCUUUGAACAGCAGGCCUAAAUACGCCACCAAUGUCAUCAAACAAAGGAAAUGCAAUUACAUUAAGAUACGAGUAUAGCAUGAAAAAGGAACAACUGUAGUAAACAUCUAACAAAGGUAAAGAAAGAUAUGCUUCUUUUAGAAAAUCAAUCACCUAAUAAUGAUCUUACCAUUACUCAUAAGCUUAUUCAUGCUAAUCUCAUACUGUAUGAGAUCACGAGCAAGAAAACACCAGCCUAAGGCAAUAUAAUGGUCAUCUUUUCUCAAUAUAAUCUCUGCUAGAUUACUUGCAAGAGCCUGGAAAAGAACUUCAUCUUGAAAAAGCCAAUUGAGGAGCACCAUUGCCUGUUUGCUGUGUCUUGACUCCCUAAAUUUCAAAUACUGCAGGGAGAAAGUCAGGAAACAUAUAAAAUACACCGCAACAGAAUGUUAAUAAAUGGAUGUCAUAGACAUAUCAAAGAAUGGAUUAAAACACUACGAUUAAAAUACCAAAGAAACAAAAAAAGGCUUAAGGAAAAACCAAAAAGAUGAACUGAAGUACAGGAAUAUCUUCUUUUAUCCAUGAAAGGAAAAAAUUAACAUUUCCCAGAAUUACAUUGUUUGGAUACAAUGAUAACAUAAUUUUUACAACUAAGCUAAAUAUCAAUCGAGAAUCAGAUAAACAGACGACAUGGUAGAAAAUCCCCAAGAACCCGUAGAAAAGUGUGUAGAUAACAAUUUAAAGAAUUAAGCUAAAGUUCUAUUUUCUUGCAUACAAAAUCUUCGAGACAAGAGGUCCAGUAGAUCAUAUUAAUCUUAACUGGCUAAAAUUUCAAGAAAAAGCUCAAAAUUUUGAAAACAAGAAACUUAGAAUCCCAAACAGACAUGUUCAAUCAUGGGAACAAGAACUUCAUCCAAUGUGCCCUCCUUCUCAGCAGCAUCCCCAACGUACUUAUGCAGAAACAACAAUGACUGCUCCAAAGAAACUGAAAAUUAAAUAAAUAAAAAAAACCCAGAAAAAAAAAACAAGUAAAUGAACUGAUUAACUUAGUUAAAAUCACUAUUGCAGGAAAAAAAGGGCAAAUUUUGUUAGAUUACUGCUAAGAGGGGCUAGUUUAGGAGGGGAGUGAAGAUUGGAGAUUGCAUGUUGGAGCUUCUUGGGGCGAGCGUCGAGUAGCGUGUGCAUAACUCUGCCCAGUGUAGCGGAUACCAUUGAAUUCGAUUCUGCUACAAAGUUGGAGGAUGACGGUUUCAGCAUCAACUCUGGUUGUUCUUUCUCUUCCAUUGAUAAUAGAAUACUAACAGAUUCUGUAUUAUUGUGCUUGGUAGUACACUGUAAUAGCAGAAGAACUUCGAAUAGGCUAAUUGUAAAAUGGGGAGACCAGAGACGAGACGAGAAAAGAAGAGAAAGGGGAAAGGAUUUAGCGAUUUUAGUCUUGACUGUGUGAAGUGAAGUUUCGGUGUCUGGUAGCGCUGCAUGCUGAAGUCGUGUUAGGUUGGCACUACGGUAAAUUAGCUUUGUUUGGAUAGAAUAUUAUUCUAAACAAUUAUUUGAAAUAAUUACUGUGAUACUUGUUGUGAUGAGAUAAAAAAGUGAUUAAAAAUAUAAAAAAAUAAAUUAGCAAAUGUAUUUAUGAUGCAAGUGAAUUUUUUUUUUGAAAAAAUUUGCUAUCCAAACUCCUCUCUCCUCCACCCACUGCCAUCUCGCCUCCUCCCAAAAAAAAAAAAAUCUCUAUUUUUUUUUUUUACUUAACCUCCUCAAGAGAAAAAAAUUAUCCCUCCAUUAUGUUGAAUUUUUUUUCUUUAUUUGUGUUCUUCUUUUUUUUUAGCAAAUAAAUUUUCUUCCACCCAUUAGUUCAUUUUCUAAAUUUUGUACCAUCAAAUAAUUAAGUUUACAUAAAAUUACGUUCUACUAUUAUUUUAUUUUUAAAUAUAGGAGAUUCGACAUUACUUUGUAUUGUUUUCAUUUGUCAUAAUUCAUCCCAUCCAAAAAUUUACAAUGCCUACAUUUACUUAUAAUUAGUACUAGGGAGGACAGCCCGCGCGACACGUGGGAAUUUGGUGUUUGUGAUUCAAGAUAAUUAAUAAUUAUUGUUUAAUAUUUUAUAAUAUAGGAACUGAAGUAUGAUGAUUUUAUCAUGUGAUUUUAAUAGAAAAAUUAUAAGUUGCAUAGUGAGUCAAUAAAAAUAAUGUGCAAUAAGACAUCCUUAUCGUUAUAUUAUAUAAGAAUCCGUUGUGAUCAAAAGUUAUGUUUGAAUUUCAACUGCAAAGAUAAGGGUAGUUUGAAAAUGUAAGAAUGUUUGAGGUGCAAUUGAAAAGUAUUCAAAAGUCUCUUCUAAAACUUAUCCAAGAUGAUAAAACAUUUUAAAGUAUCAAUUGGACUUUUCAUCUCUCGAAUCUAUAUAUGUUCGUGAAAGAUCACUCAAGUAAUGCUUUUGAUUUCUCCCUCGACUUAAACUCAAGCUAAAUUAUCAAGUCAAGUUUAUCCAUCAAUCACUUUGCGUCCAAUCUAAUCUAAAAUAAUUUUAUUUUUUACUAACUAUUUAUAUAAUUUGGUGGGUAUAAUACGACUUAAUCACAUGUUUCUUACAGAGAUAAUAAUGCCAAAAAAUGAUAGAUAGAUAAGAAACUUAAGUGAUCUUUUUCAAAAUUUUGUAGAAACUAUUUAGAUUUGGUGUUUUUUGCUAGGGGCAUUUCUUUAUAAUCUCAUAAAUAAGUUCAAAUCUGCAUAAUUGUUAAAGAUUUAAAUUGAAACUAUCUUGAUUAUAAAAAAUUGGUGCAAACAAUAUUUUCUAAAUUUGAAAUUGUAGAAAAUGGUAAGUAAAAUCAGAAGAAAUUCCUCAUAUAAAUUUGAAUUGCAAACUAUAGGUAGAAACUGCUUAAUGAUAUUUUCUAAUGUUUACUUGUAUAAGUAUCCAAUAUAACAUCUCUACUUAAUUGACUCGUUUGAACUAUGGAUAAUAGUUGCAUCAAUCAAAUCAAGAAACAUUAUUUAUCAUUGUACAGCAUACAAUUAUGAGUAAAUGAAUUAAUACAAUGCAAUCAAAAUGGUGUUGUAGCUAAAGCAUUUAAACUCAUCAAGUUCCACUACAAAUUCUUUUACAUAGUAUAAAAAAUAAAUUUUUUGUAUUUGAAACUAUAUAAACAAUAUAAUACAAGAACGAGAUCAUAACAUGGAAUGCAAAUAGAGUGCAAAUGACAUCUUAGUACUAUGUAGCAUGAUUAAUUUUCUUUUUUAGUUUCAAUGAAGUACAAAAUUCUAAAUUAAUAAAUUUUACAAUCAUAAAAUUUUCAAUUAAAAUAAACACAAGUUGAAUUUCAAAUCAUAUUACAUGAAAAAAUAACUACUUGAACCAUAAUUGCUGGAAUGUAGUCAACAGAUCUCUAGAGUCAAUAAUAAUAGGAGAAAAUUCAUGAGAAAUAAGGUUAUUUGACUUAAAUAAAUAGAUAAUAUCUUGGCUGAGGAGGAAAAGAUGAUAAAAUUACUUUUUUGAUUAUUUUAGAAAGUGACAACAUUAUCUCAAAUUGUAUUUUGACAGAGACAGAAUCUCUGAAAUUUACUAAGAAAAACAAUACAAUUAAUUAGUUUUUAGAAUUAGAAAUAUCAAAUGGCAAACUAUAUGGAAUUCUUUAAUAAACCAAUCAUCAGAAAAAAAAAACUACAAUCGAAGAAGACAAAUCUAAAGAACUCACCUCAAUUUAAAGGAAAAACUAUGUAUUCCACCAAAUAUUUAAUAGUCAUAAUAAAAUUAAAGAGGUGAAACCGAAAAAGAAGAAAGGGUAUCGGCUAAACAUGGGAACAUAAAUAUGAUAAUGAUUGUUCAGAUAAUAAUUAAGUUAAUUAAUUAUAAUUAAAAUCCAAUUAUGUAAACAUCCAAUUAAUUUCUUAACGGAUGAGAAAGGUUUCAGGAAAUUGGAAGACUUGGAUGUUAGUAUAAUAAAUGAUUAAAAGAACUUUUAUGUAAUUCUAUCAAAAUACAAAACAAGUUUUAUUCAGUUGUACUUGAUACUCAACUUGGCACCAAACAUUGUAACAUACCAAAUCUGCCCCUAACCUUAAAUGUCUGAAAUGUUAUAUAAGUAAUUAUAGUGAAAUUAAAGUUAUAAUGACUUGUACUCAAUGUUCCAAUUACUCUUCAAAUACUCGCGCAUUUUUAAAAUAGUCUCACCUCUGUGGUUGAAAUAUAGUCCUAAACUCGUUCUUAUAUUUAAGGGAAAAGUUAUGCAUUCCACCAAAUAUUUAAUAGCCAUAAUAAAAUCAAAGAGGUGAAACCGAAAAAGAAGAAAGGAUAUCAGUUAAAUAUGGGGACAUAAAUAUGAUAAUGAUUGUUCAGAUAAUAAUUAAGUUAAUUAAUUGUAAUUAAAAUCCAAUUAUGUAAACAUUCAAUUAAUUUCUUAAUGGAUAAAAAAGGUUUUAAGAAAUUUGAAGGCUUCGAUGUUAAUAUAAUAAAUGAUUAAAAGGACUUUUAUGUAAUUCUAUCAAAAUACAAGCUUUAUUCAAUUGUAUUUGAUAUUCAACUUGACACCAAACAUUGUAACAUACCAAAUCUGCCCCUAAUCUUAAAUGUUUGAAAGGUUAUAUAAGUAAUUAUAGUGAAAUUAAAGCUAUAAUGACUUGUACUCAAUGUUCCAAUUACUCUUCAAGCACUCUCACAUUCCCAAAAUAGCAUCACCCCUGCGGUUGAAAUCUAGUCCUAAACUCGUUCUAUCAAAAUACAAGGUUUAUUCAAUUGUACCUGAUACUCAAUUUGGCACCAAACAUUGUAACAUACCAAACCUGCCCCUAACCUUAAAUGUCUGAAAGGUUAUAUAAGUAAUUAUAAUGAAAUUAAAACUAUAAUGACUUGUACUCAAUGUUCCAAUUAUUCUUCAAACACUCUCACAUUCCCAAAAUAGUCUCACCCUUGCGAUUGAAAUCUAAUAUCAAAUUCGUUCUUAUAUAGUAUAAGCAUAAGGAAAUUAUCAAUCAAUUAUAUUCUAAUUUAUUUUGUCCAUUUUUUUCAAUAUAAUAAAUUUUAAAAAAUUAUACUCUAUAUCCUUAUUAAAAAUUUCGAAAUAAAUUAUUCAUUUAUUACAAUCACAUUCACAUGCUAGUUAGUUGGACAUAUUUUUGUUCAUUUUCUUCUAAUGAAUUUUUUCUUGUUUGAUUAUUUUGUAUACAAUUCUUUAUAAGUAAUUAAAUAUUAAUAUUUUUUUCUAAUAAUUUUAUUUCACUCAUUUGCUACUUCACCACCAUGAAUUUUUUUUUUUGUUAUCGUCAAUUUAUCUAUAUUAUCCUACUCUAUCCUAAUCUAAAGGGAAGACAUGAAUGAACUUACAGGAAUCGAUGAGCAUCGAACUACUAUCAGACCAAAUCCCACCCCACGAAACCCUUCCCCACCAAAAAAAAAAAAAAAAAGCUUAGUAUGAAGGACUGCUAGUUUAAGCCAUGAGUUUAGUACAAUUGGCAAGAGGGUUGCUAAUACCAACAACAGAUCUAAUUUUUUUUUUAAGACCAACAACAAAUCUCAAAUUCAACUUUUAUAUGUAACGUCUUGAAAAGUUCUAAAUUAGGUUUUCACUCCAGAGUAAAAGUCUGGAUAAUUAGUGUCACUGAGGGUAGGGAUACGAUUACUCAAAGCUAAGGAAAAAAAAAAAAGACUGCUAGUCAAAGUGAGAUAAAAAUUAUAGCAUAAACUGUGAAUCUCACUAUAGUUUAAGGGGAGUUUCCUAAACUACACGAACGAUACAAAAUUACAAAUAAUAGGCUAAAAUAUUCACUAUGAGAAAAUCCCUCAAAUCCAAAUUCCACAAUUUCCCUCCAUUUUGUGUCUCUGUCCCUUCACUUCAGUCCGUACCAACGAACAGACGGUUGGUUCCCCAACACCAGCGCCUUUAGCUCCAGUUCCACCUUGUGAUGGUUCUCCCUCUCCUCCAAGAUCCACCCCAAUUCUCGCGCCCAUCACCACCUAUUCAGACCCUUCCCUAUAAACCUCCCAAAAACCCAUUAAACCAGCAAAGUUUUCAGGAGAACUUCAGGAUAAUAUGCAAUUUCUUGCUUUCCCUUACUCGCUCAGGCUCCCUUCUCAAAGGCCAAGCCUUGCAUUCCCACAUCGUCAAGUCUGGGAUUCAGAUAAUUCCAUUAGUUUCCCACCACUUAAUCAACUUGUAUUCAAAGCUUCAACGCCCAUUUGACUCCCAGUUUGUUUUCGAGGAAGCACCUUUUAAGUCAUCAACCACCUGGAGCUCUAUGAUUUCCACGUUUGCCCAAAAUGAUCUGCCUAUUUUAGCAUUAUCGUACUUCCGGGCAAUGCUUUAUAAUGGGUUUGCUCCAGAUGAGCAUAUUUUGCCUAGCGCUGUUAAGGCUUGUGCGAUCAUGAGUAGGCAUGAUGUUGGGAUGUCAAUGCAUUGUCUUGCAGUGAAAAAUGCAAUGAAUUUGGACGUGUAUGUUGGAAGUUCUUUGGUGGAUAUGUACGCAAAAUGUGCGGAAUUGGGGUAUGCGAGGAAGUUGUUUGACGAAAUGCCUGAGAGAAACAUUGUCUCGUGGAGUGGGAUGAUCUAUGGGUAUGCGCAGAUGGGGGAGGAUAAUGAAGCUUUGGGUCUUUUUAAGAGGGCGUUGGAGGGGGGUUUGAGUUUAAACGACUUUACCUUUUCAAGUGUGAUUCGUGUUUGUGGAAAUUCUACGUUGCUGGAGUUGGGGAGACAAAUGCAUAGCUUGUGUGUGAAGAUGAAUUGUGAUUCUUCGAGUUUUGUGGGAAGUUCUUUGAUAUCUCUGUACUCGAAGUGCGGCGUUGUAGAGAAUGCUUGUCAGGUUUUCAAUGAGGCAGUUGAUAAGAAUUUAGGAAUGUGGAAUUCAAUGUUGAUUGCUUGUGCUCAACAUGGACACACAAAGAAGGUGUUUGAGUUGUUUGGGAGAAUGAAGAGUUGUGGGAUGAAGCCAAAUUUUAUAACCAUUUUGUGUGUGCUUUAUGCGUGCAGUCAUGCGGGGCUAGUCAAAGAAGGUAACUACUAUUUUGGAUUAAUGAAGGAGUAUGGCAUUGAGCCAGGGGAUCAGCAUUAUGCUUCCAUGGUGGACUUGCUUGGGCGAGCUGGGAAAUUGGAGGAGGCUACGAAGCUUAUCAAGGAAAUGCCAAUUCAACCAACAGAAUCUGUAUGGGGAGCUCUACUGACCGGCUGCCGACUUCAUGGUAAUACUGAGUUGGCGGCCUAUGCAGCUGAUAGGAUCCUUGAAUUAGGUUCAGUAAGUUCAGGCUUUAACGUUCUGUUAUCAAAUGCUUAUGCAGCUGUUGGUAGGUAUGAAGAAGCGGCCAAAGCCAGAAAGAUGUUAAGGGAUCGAGGAGUGAAGAAAGAAACUGGUUUAAGUUGGGUUGAGGAAGGAAAUAAGGUCCAUACAUUUGCUGCAGGGGAAAGGCAACAUUUUAAAUCUAAGGAAAUUUAUGAAAAACUUGGGGAACUAGAGAAUGAAAUGGAGCUAGCUGGCUAUGUUAUGGACACCAGUCAAGUGUUGCGAGCAGUUGGCAAUGAAGAGAAGAGUGAAGCAAUUAGGUAUCAUAGUGAAAGAUUAGCUAUUGCAUUUGCACUAAUAACCUUUCCACCUGAAAGGCCAAUUAGAAUUAUGAAGAACUUGCGAGUUUGUGGUGAUUGUCACACAGCUAUUAAGUUUAUGUCGAAGUGCACCGGAAGAUUAAUCAUUGUGAGAGAUAACAAGCGGUUCCAUCAUUUUUCGGGUGGGGAAUGUUCCUGUGGUGAUUAUUGGUGAUAUUAAGUGGUAAGGAUUUCUACCUAAUUGGUUAUUUGUAAUAUUAAGUGAUAAUUAAUUGGUAAUCUCAUUCUCUGAAAAAAUAAAGGACCAAUAACAAGAAUAAUCAUUGCUACUUUCCAUUCAGAGAAAGUGUUCUUUUGGUCAAGUAAUUUCUUCUGAUUAAGAUGCUGAACUUGAUUAUUUUGAGGCUGGCAGGGUACCAGUGAAAGGUGUUGUAGGAGGAGAGAGGGACUUCAUGCAAGAUCUUUCUCUUUUCUCUGGUAGGGAACUUCAUGCCCUUAAUAAACAAGUGAAACCCUGUUUCUGAGAGGUUGCCCAUUUUUGGAUCAAAAGGCCAAUUUAGCACUUUUUUACAAGUAAAAUUCAUCAACUUCCAGCGUGAGAGUGAUUUAAUCCAGAAGGUACUCUCCCCCACCCCCCACCCGACCCCUUUCUCACUUCCAUGAGUUUCAACAAUAAUAGCCCGGCAGUUUUUUGAUUCAUUCAUGCAUACCAGUCUGUGAAGUUUUAACUUUGAGUACUUACUAAUGCUGGAGAUGCUCUCCUUAAGGUUGGGGAAAGCAGAAGUAUGAGAUUUGGAAGUUCCAGACUUCCAGUCCACCAUGUUAAUUAUCUGCAAGAUAGCACCGUCGGCCGUGUAGCUGCCUUGAGUUUACAAAUGCAAUGGCUGUUUGUUGUUGACUUGCAGCUUAUUCUGCUUACAAAAUGAUGAAGCCAAUUGGAUAUUCCAUUUUUUGAGACUGAGGUACUGUUUAAUUGUUAAUACUCUGUAUUAGUCAGUGUUGGUGCAUUGUACAAGAAGUCUGGCAUGGCAUUGAAGUUGCUUAGUCGUCAGAAAGCGAAAAGUUUUUGCUGAACUUGAAAAAGCAGGAGUUCAAAUUGUCUUUGCUGGAGCUUGCUGCUUGUAGAGUUUAAAAGAACUGGAGAGAUAUCAAGGUAUAAAAUGGAAACUCCUUUACUUUAGAAUAUGCAGUUCCAUCACAAAGUAAGGGCUGCCUUCCGCAAAAAGAUAAAAGCAAUGAUUUUUUUUUGGUAAAUAAAGGAAUGAUGCUACAAGUAGUUUAUAUUAUUGGUCUGAUACUUAGCAGUCCUUUUAAUAUGGAUUCCAGCAUUAUUGAAAUCAAUGAAAAAGUAUUUUGGAUCCCUCCAUAAUUGGUCUUUUCUGCUGUAGGUACCUACAUAAUUGCAGAAUAUGAUUUUUGAGACAUAAAUGGCAUGUGCGGAGGAUUUGGUACUUUUUUGCUUUAAGUUUUGGGCACAGGGCUGCAGAGUGAUUGCUAAGAUCACGGCAAGACGUGCAGAUCUAGAAGUGCAAGGUCUGCAAGAUCACCUUUCAUCAGGCAAUUCUUUUGUGUUCUACCCAAUCAUGUAUUGCAUCUGGGGCAUAUGUUUCUUUGGGAGUUUCAGUGUUGUCUGCUGAAGGAUGCAAGCCAUGAAAUCUUACGUGUGGUCGAGGGACACAAUUGCCUCCAGCAUCAUCAAGAUUCUAAUCAUUAAUUGGCUCUCUGGAUGUUGCAGUGCAGGAGACGUUUCAAACCCGGUUGCUUGCUUGCUCAUUGGUCACGCGAUCAAUAUGUUAUCGAAUGUACGUAAAAGAAUUGGUAUAUUGCAGUGACGGUAAAAAAGGAAUUUAGGUCUUAUUCCAAAACAUAGAAGGACACGGCCGUAAAUGUGUGGUAAAAUUAGUCUCAAACUGGGAGGCCGUGAUUUCUAGUAGCCUGCCGUCCUCUAGUUUUGUAAGCUUAAUCAAGCGAAAUUGGCUCGUCUCACAAUUGUCGUAUCCUAUAUGUCAUCAGUUCGAAGUUAGCUAUGAUAAUGCGCUUGCGUUCUUGGGCAAGCUACGAGGUACAUUAGUCUUCUAACUAAAUAGACUUAUUAAAGAUCAAUUAAUAGACUUAUUAAAUAGCUGAUCUGGACAGCAAAUAAUUUCUUCGCUGCAUUAAAUCACAUGGGACAAGUGCCACUCGAAAUAGAAUCACACUAAUAGAAUUAAUUUUGACUAAUGAUGUAUUAUUGUUGGCACUCCAAAAAAAAACCCUCCAAGCACUCCUCUUUUCUUUUCUGCUUAAUGAAAUAACACGUAAACUUACAAAAUGAUUUAGAAAACAAAUUUACCCCUCCAUACAUUCACCACUAACUUUAUCUACUUUAAUGUCAAAUUGUUUGGAUACUAGUAAUGAAGUAAAUUCCUAAUAACUAUCGAUAUUUUUCAAUAUCGUGUGCCUAUAAAUUAUUUUGUAAUUCUUGAAUAAAGCACUAACCUUCAAGAUUUCAUUCUAUAGGACCGAGAGAGACUCGAUCUAGCCGCAAAAAGAAUGUUUGGUUUGAAAUUUUCUAUUGCUUCAUUUUUGUGGAGUUUUACAACUUUGAAAGUAUUGUGCGUAUGCUUAUGUGUGUGUGUGCGCGCGCGCGCGCUUUUUCUUUUUUUUUUUAAAUUAAAACUUUAUAGUCAAGGGUAUAGAUAGGCCUAUCAACGGGCCAGGAUCCGGACCGAAAUUCAUUAUUCCGGAUCCGGACCCGGCAUAUCAUAUUGGACCUGGAUUCGACCCAUUUACCCGACGGGUCUUCUACUCUAUAUUUCGAAUUCGGAUCCGACAGAUCUCAGAUCCGAGUCGGGUCGGCCCGAAAAAAAUUAUCAAAAACUUAUAAUUUCUAAUAAAAAUGAGAAAAAAAUAUAUUUGUAAACUAAUUUCUAACUAAUAUAAAAAAAACCAAAUAAGAAAAGAAAUCAAAUUGACUUUACUCAAAUACAUCACCCUAAUCUAAUUAUAUUGAUAAAUAUAUAUUUUAAAUUAUUAAUCCAUUUAUAUCCGGAUCUAGGUCUAAUACGGGCCGGAAUACUAUAUUCCGUAUCCGACCCAUUUUUUUAUUUGAUAAAAUGGAUUCGGAUCCGGAUAACGGAAUUAAAUCCCUACUCGUACUCGCAAAAAAUUCACGGAUCAAGUCCGGGACCCCCGUUGACAGGCCUAGGUAUAGAGGCCUCCAUGAAAUAAAUGCAAAGUGAUUAUUAUUAACUAUACCUUGGGGGUAUUAUUGGUACUUAAACUUUUAGAGAACCUUAUGGAUGUUGACGCCAUUUUAAACAACACUGACCAACAUGGAGUUUGUUUUCCUAUUAGCUUACUACGUCCGAACAAUUUGUGUGCGGGUGGGUCUCAUCCGCCACUAUCACUGGUGCAAAGCGUUUGGAGCAUGAAUCCUCUGGACACCACUCGAAGUUGGAAACGAAUAUGGGAAAGCACACCUGAAAAAUUGACUCAAACAUCUUUUUCAGAUAACAUCUUGAAAGGGACAGAAGAAACACAAGGAAAUUAAACAAUCCAACUAUCACAUCAUAGUCCGAGAUAUAUAUAAUUUCUUGCUCUCAAAAUUUUUUUUCCAAUAUAGAACUCGCGUUUGCAUGGUUUUUCUUUUGGCUUGUUUCUUGGAAACAUUUCUGAACAAUCAAUUGCUUAAGGUGAUAUCCUAUGCUAAACCCACUUUCAAUUUUUGCUAAUUUCCAUCUGACGAUCCAAUUGUACAUGCAUGGAUUUUUCCCACAGGACAGGUGGUGGAAUUGCUGGGGAUUUUGGAUAUCAGACAGUGGAAGGUUCCCUCCCCUUAAAAUAUUGGACCUGCCUCUCUUGCGCCCUUUUAAAAGUCCUCCUCGAACUUUUCUGGGGCUGCCAUUACUGAGGAAGGUCUAUACGCUCCCUGAGUCAAACCGGCACUUCCAACCAACCUCCAUCUCAUGUGCUGACCGUUCCAGUGCUUGCCUGUUAAGCAUUCUUAGAUACUUGAGUUUUUUACUUUUUUACCCAAGUCUUUCUGGGGUACCUCCUUUGAACUCUUCGUGGAUUCAAGAAUCAAGAUUCUUUUCAAUUUUUCGUUACAUAAAGUAGGAAGAGUUAUUAGGUGAUCAGUUCUUGAUUCUUUGAGUUUGUUCUUCUUUCCGUAUUCUUGUUGUGUUUGUUAGAAACCAGUAAAGUUUUCUUGCUGGAAUUGAAUUCCUUUUCUGUUAUUUGACACUUUUUCCUGGAACCCAGUUCAGUGUUCUUGGUAAACUUGGAGCCUUUUCUGAUCAUUUUGGGUGUCUGGGAUGCUGAAGUUAAUGCGGUGAGCUUUACUCAAGUUUAAAGCUUGAGAGCUUUGGAGGCCUUUACUCAGCCAUGUCAGACUAUGAUGUCUUGUAUCUGUAUAGAAAUAUGGGCGAGAAUCCUGUAUGGGGUCUGUUUAAGAACAUAAGGUACUGAUUGAUUUUGAAAAGGCUUGUGUUGUUUUCGUCAAUUGUUUGUAUGAUGGUUGCUCUUUUAACUUUUUAGGUGGGGAGGGAAUAUAAGGUCUCUUGUUAGAUAGAUAUUUAAUUUGAAGUUGAUAAUGUGUGGUGCAGAAAUGUUUUCAAGAAGGACGAGUUAGGAGUGGAAAUUGCACAGAUUGCAAUACCUGCAGCAAUGGCCUUAGCUGCUGACCCAAUUGCUUCUUUAGUUGAUACAGCUUUCAUUGGUCAUAUAGGUUUGUUCCUUUCUUCCUGGUGUUCUUUCAUCACUGCUGAUACUUUACUGAUGGUCUUAUGUGAUCGCAUUUUCAUUCUGAAAGUUGUGCUGUACUUUGUCCUGUUUAAUCAAUAAAGAUUCUUUGUUCCAUCCAUAAUUGAAAAACGUACAUGAAAACUUGAGGCUUCUUUGUGCUAUAGUGAAAAAUUGUGCUUUUGGAGGUAAUGAAAACAUGUAAAGGGACUUGACACUCCAGAAAACAUCAAUCAGCUGAAAACAAUUACCCUUCUAAGAAUACCAUAUGACAUUUUUAUAAAUACCAAAAAGAUUUGGUUUCUGCUACUCUGGCAUUGAAACAUCAAUUUGCAUUGGACCUGCUUUUGAUAAAUCAUAUAAAAAGAUUGCUAGUUUAAUUUGAAGUAUAUUCUUUGCACAUUUGCUUCUAGUUUCUGGUCAAAUCUUCAGAUUCUUAGAACUAGAGCUAUGUUUAUUGCAAAGCUACCUAGGCUUGUGGCUGUGUUUGCAAUUCACCACUUUCUUCUUCUUCUUCUUCUUUUUUUGUUAAACUGCUCUCAGAUGAAUGCAGCAGCAAAGGGAAUGUACUUCUCUGCUUUUUUCUUUUCUGAACUGGUUAUGUUGAAUACCGUUGUAGCUCUUGUAAAAUAUUAAUUAUAUGCAACCUAAGUCAUAUCUUUCCUCUUGCUUUUUACGUAUUGGGUCUUGGAAAGUCGCUAGUGGUAACCUAAUUGUCUGACUGAUUCAUCAUAACUGCAUGUAGGUCCAGUGGAACUUGCGGCUGUAGGUGUCGCCAUUGCUGUAUUUAACCAAGCAUCAAAAAUUGCAAUAUUCCCACUCGUUAGUGUGACAACUUCUUUUGUUGCUGAAGAAGAUGCUACUAAAAGUUUGAGCAUUGAUUCACAAGAAAUUGAAAUAGUGGAGAAUGGUUUUGCUGCAGAUGGCGAAAAGGAAGAGUUGCUACCGAAAGUGGGUAAGGCUUUGACUAUUUUUCUCUUUGUCAUCCGUAGAAAAAAGUGCUGUGAUAAUUCCUUUUUUGUUGAAAAUAUGAAAAUUCACUUUUUCAAUGUUAUCUAUUUGAUUACAGUUGUUAGUUAAAUAAGCAAUCUUGCUCCUGCUGUUGUGAACUUUUCCGAUGUUCUCUACCUUGAUACAGAAUUGAGUAGCAAAUCAUUCAGCAGUAGCCAAGGGAAGGUGGUUGAUGGUAGGCGGAACAGCAGGCAUAACUCUUCUGCUUCAUCAGCAUUGCUCAUAGGUUGUAUACUUGGUAUCAUCCAAGCAAUUUUCCUCAUUUUUGCUGCAAAACCCUUGUUAAACUACAUGGGUGUAGAAUCUGUAAGUUAAUCUUCUUAAUAUUAGUAAUCACUUAUGGUUCUUUCACACAGCCUUCACCAUUUUUUAGGUGGUCUCCUCAGUAUAAACAGAACAUCUCAUAGCUCAACUUGAAUGAAGUUUCUUCUUGUUGAUAUUCAAAUUUUGUUUAAGUUGUUUCCUAUAUGAGUGAAGUCGUUAAAAAGAAUCCAUGGAGCAACUCUUUAAGAAUCAGAUAUACUCUUUAAGCAGGGCGUUUUGCUUUUUCUAAUUUACUUCAUGUCUUUCAAAUUUGAAAGAUAAAUAGUCUGGUGGAACAGAAAUAUUAAGUUGUAUUUUUGGUUUAAUCCCUAUCUUGCACCUAGUUCUUCAUCAGUAGAUUUUAUGGAAUUGUAAGAAGCAAUACAUGAUACCUCACCUGAAUGUUAUACAUCUCACCAUGUUGAAUGUAUUGUGACUAUUAAGCAUUGUACCAGAUUCUUGUUGAGACCUCCAUUUGUACUUUCAAAUUUAACUCAUCAACCUUGUUUUGGAGAAGAAGAAUCUUCUCUUCAAGUCUAAUCUUUAGCUUACAAGAUGUAGGUCAUUUGUCCAUCUGGGGAGAUGGUACUUCUUUUGCUUUAAGAUCUAUAUCUAAGCUAGGAUCAAUUCAAAUUUUAUCAAGAUUUCUAUGAGUUAUUCAGUUGUUUCUUGCAAACAGAGCAACUGGGUGUGUAUUAUUGUAAUGACCAAAGUUGUUUUUUUCAUUUCUCACUGAUGAGGAUAUAAAUUAAUACCCAAAGCUGUAAUAUUGUCAAGUUUGUUCCUUAGCCUUGAAUGUGUGAGUAUCUGCUCUGUACUUUCAAAAUUCAAAAUUUUCUUAAGGAUUAGAAUGUAAUUGGGUUUUGGAGUAGUCAGUUGAUGUUUCAUAAAGAUAACUGAUUAUACAAUAUUAUCUAAUGCAGGAUUGCUUACAUUUCUACAAAUACCAUUUUAUCUUACUUGUCACAGUAUCCACUGUAUCAUCAAUGAUCAUUACUGCAACCAAAUGAAAUAACAGUGCUUUGUUUUCUCCAUGUAGAAUUCACCUAUGCUGAACCCAGCCCAAAAGUACUUAAUAGUGAGGUCACUUGGCGCUCCAGCUGUCCUCCUUUCCUUGGCCAUGCAGGGUGUCUUUCGUGGAUUCAAGGAUACAAAAACCCCUCUUUAUGCAACCAGUAAGCAAGCUUUGAAGUUUCUUAGGCACCUUUUUUUUCUGACUAAUAUUUAUGUUUCUCUUGCUUUUGGGGUACUAGUGGACAAAUGAAUCAGACUAGUUUUAUACAUUUACUAUCUUUUGUGACAGAUUUUUACCAAUCUGCUCUUGUAUGUGAAAAUUGUUACCCUAUGCAAUUAGGCUGACAUUGUUUACUGGAACGCAGUGAUUGGAGAUCUGACAAACAUAAUUCUGGACCCAAUAUUCAUUUUCCUGUUUGGUUUAGGUGUUACUGGUGCAGCCGUUGCCCAUGUUAUCUCCCAGUAAGAUUUAAGUUUCACCUGUUGUAAAUUAUUUGUAAUUUUAUCUAAACUUGUAAUUUUUGUAUUAUUUGCUCAUUUUAGUUUCUUCUCAUUUGGUCUUUAAAUAAUUGCAGGUACUUUAUUUCCCUAAUACUUAUGUGGAGAUUAAUGAGUGAAGUAGAUCUUUUAGCCCCUAGUAUCAAAGAUCUGCAGUUGGGUCGGUUUCUUAAGAAUGGUGAGUAAUGUCUGAUGCUAAAGACAUCAAUCCAUUAUUUGUGUUGUCCAACAUCAUAUACCUCCUGUAACCUGCAUGAUGGGGGAGUUUCUUUAUCACCUUAGAACUGCAGGGUUGUUGCUGAUUGAACGCAUAAGCCAGGUGGAAUACUUCUUCCUUGCCAAUCCAUAAACAAUUUACCAACUAAGCAUAUUGACAACUUUUAUUUCAGUAUAUAAAUUAAAAUAUGAGAUUUGAGUUAUCACUUGAGUUGGUGAAAUUUGGUAUUGGAUUUAAUUCUGUUGUGGAAUAAUUGAUUUUUCAGAAAACAAAACCAGUAACUUAGUCUUUCGGAUCUAUGCUUCUAGUCACACCACCACACAUGGUAUAAAAGAUAAUAACCUGCCUCUUUAAUAAUGUCACAAGAAGCUUCUCCUUAAGUGGACUGCUAUGCAAGUAUUUAUACUUCUCUUUCUAAGAGUAACAAUAGGGUAAUUCUGUUGAAGCAUGGUGAAAAUAAUUUUUGAUGCUCUACGUGCCCCAUUUAUGGGUCCAAUUCUUCUUCCUUUGACUAGCAGUCAACCAAUACUCGUUGCUAUUACCUUAAUGCAAGAAAAGAGCUAGCUUCCAUCAAUGCUUGUUUGUAUAAAUUGGUACCUUUUGAAUUGAAUACAACCAGGGAUGUAGGCAAAUAUCCAUGCACAUAUUGUAGACCUGCAAUUAGCAGUCUCAUGCUGAAAAGGAAGUGAUAACUGACAUAUAACUUGUACAACAAUUAUCUCUUACUUUUAUCAUACCCAGAGUUUACAAGUGAAAUCGGACACCACUCAAGUAUGUUUGCAUGGCCCUAAAAAUGCAAAUCCUUCUCCAUACCUGCAAAAGGAGAAAAGAAGAGAAAAAAUAUAUUGGGAUGAUAGUUUCAUGAUAGUUAUUGAAUCUUCUUUGCAGUAUAAAUGAUGCUUUGCAUGGUUCAAAGGAAAAAGUUUGCAAAGACAUACUAUUGUUCAAUUUGUUAAAAAUAAAUGAAAAUUUUGUGAAGGAAAAACCAGGAUGGUAAGUAAUUCAUAAAAGCUUUAUUUCUCGAUUAGCAGAGUGUCUACCUGCAACAUGACAUAGUUUCUAAAUUCUUCAUCUGUUCUAGCAAUUGAAAUUUGUAGUUUUGUACUCUCAGUAUCUGGUUUUGCAAAUGAAACCAUUUAUUUCAUGAAAUUUUCAAUCAAAUACACUAUAUUUGAUCUCUUGGCUGAUUUACCAUGUAUGCUUAUUUGUCUCUUCCUCUCUUCCCCCAAAGCAUUCACUUAACUUCUUCCGGCUGUUUAUAGAUGGAAAUGUAUAUGCAUGGAAAUACUAAUUUAUUUUGCAUACUUGGGAUCAGGAUUUCUGCUAUUAUUGAGAGUCAUAGCAGCAACAUUCUGCGUAACCUUGGCAGCUUCAUUGGCUGCAAGGGUGGGAUCAACAUCGAUGGCUGCUUUCCAGGUCUGCUUGCAGGUUUGGCUGGCAACCUCAUUACUUGCUGAUGGAUUAGCCGUAUCGGGACAAGUAAGGAUCAUUAAUUCAGUUUACAUUAAUUGUCUUUUGUUUUUGAUAAAUGAUGCAAUUUAUUAUUAGUUAAUCUGUACUUAAUUUUUCUUAUCUGAGGCUUAAAGAAGCACACUCAACUUAAAGAUGAUGACCGCUGAAUAAUGUCUAGAAAAUUGGAACCAUAGGGGUUAUGUAUAUAAUCUGAGAGUUCGUGAUCAUCUAUAACUAGUAUAUUCUAACUAUAAGCAUGUGAAAUGUAUGUGAAUGAGUCUGUUUCUUGUCCAAACUAUUUGAAAUAUCAUUUCAAGCAUAACAAGUAUUUAGCAGUCCAAGCACUAGAAAAGCUGAUUAAUUCAUUUAAGGCCGAAGCUAGAUAACUCAUUCAACGCCAUGUUUAAGUCUUACUUUUGAGUGGACUAAUUCCUUUGUUCUGCAUAAUAUUCAACGCUUUAUCCCAUUUUUUGCUCAAGUUUUAGAAAGUACUUUUGAUUUGUUGGUGUUAAGACAUAGGUAGCUUUGUUUUAAUUGUUUUGCAGGCCAUUCUUGCCAGUGCAUUUGCAAAAAAUGACUACGAGAGAGCCACAACUACUGCCUCUCGUGUCUUACAGGUACUUCCACUGUUUAUACUUUAAGAACUUCUUGUUACUUUCAUUCAUCUCUGCCUUUUUCUUAAAUUUUUUUCCUAUCUAUAUUCUGUACUGACAAGAUCUUCAACUCUGCAGUUGGGAUUGGUACUUGGGCUGGUUCUUUCACUCAUUGUCAUUGUUAUACUGAAAUAUGCAUCAACAAUUUUCACAGCAGAUAUAAAUGUUCUCCAUCUUUUAAGUUUGGGCAUCCCGGUAUAUUUUGCUUUCCACGAAGAUCUUCUUUUAAGUUUCCAGUGUCGGUUAAAAUGUAUACUAACGGUUGAAUGCAGUUUGUUGUAGUGACGCAGCCAAUUAACUCUGUGGCCUUUGUUUUUGAUGGAAUAAACUAUGGAGCAUCUGAUUUUUCUUAUUCUGCCUACUCCAUGGCAAGUUUCAACCCUUCAACUUUUCCUUUCUAUUCGUGAUGCUUGUCUAGAGAGAAGUCUUGUGCAUUUCCUCGUACUCCUGUCCAUCAUGUCUAUCAUAUGAUAUUUUGCCAGUAUGAGCAGCACAAGUUAAAAAGAAAUUUCCCUGCUUCUCAAGAAACCAUAGACAAAGUUUAGCUUAUCUUGUAUUUUCUCCUGCAGAUUUCUGUGGCAGCAGUGAGUAUAAUACUCUUGCUACUGCUGUCCUCGAGAUUUGGUUUUGUUGGUAUAUGGCUUGCAUUAUCUAUCUUCAUGAGUUUGCGGGCGUUAGCUGGAUUUUGGAGGUAAUCUGGCAUUGGUUAAUGGUUAUUUCUCCAUAAUCAAUAGAAAAGAAACACUCUUUUUUCCCUUGUAGCUACAGGGGAGAACCUUUCCCUUCACAUUUCCAUGCAGGCUAUAAUUUCAUGAAAUUUUGUCAAAUAUCUAAAUUGUUACUUAAUUUCCAUUUUUACACCUGCAGGAUAGGAACCAGAACAGGACCUUGGCGCUAUCUCCGGGGAUAAUUUCUGCUGAUUAUAGCUGGAUUUGCACCACCUCAUUUUUCUUGGUUUUGGAAGAAUUCCUGCCAUCAUUUAGGAAUAUGUGGCUGAUAAUAUUAGAUGGCCAUAAUAUUAGUAGGUAUAAAUCACUACUUUCAUUCCUUGUUGUAUCAAUAGCAUCUUGAGAGCUGUAUGAGGCAAAUGAUAUCCAUAUGAUCAAUGUGUUUGUAAAACUGCCAAAAGCCAAAAAAAGCAAAUAACAAAAAAAAAAAAAGAAGAAGGAAAUGGAGGAGGAAAAAUUAGGUUAGAUUUUCUUCAUAUCUUUUUUCCUUUUAAGCAAAAUGUUAGAUUACAUUAGAGCCAUAAGAACCUUACUAUGCUUUCUCUGUCAAGUUUUAAUGAGAGGUGUCAGUGUGCAAAAUCUAAAGACGUGGAACUGAUAGCAAGAUAUAUAUCACGCCUCUUGCCCUCUACGGCUGGGGGCAGCAUAACAGCGUUAACGUUUUUAGUACCCGCACUAUACCUGCCAUCUGCGAGAUCGCAACCUAUCUCCUCAAGGCGUGAAAAUGGAAUCUGUUUGGUAUCACGCCUCAUCACUCCACCUAAGAAAGGCGGAAAGUCAUGCCUAACUCCUAAAGGGGUGUUUUUGGACUCCACUUAAAAGUCUGACUAAUUUUUAAUGAGAUAAAAGCACCCCUUCAUGAGAUAAAAACUAGAAUAAGCAUUUUUAUUCCCUUUUAAAUUUCUUUGACCCAUUAUGGCAUAUAAUAUAUCGAGGUAUUAUUUUACAAAACAUGUAUCCAAAACACAUAAUUCAGAUAUUAAAUUUUUGAAAAAGUAAAAUUAAUUAGAAAAAAAAUGCAAAUGCAAAGUAAGAUAAUAAUUUUUAGUGUGUGUGUAUAUAUGUGUGUGUGUGUGUUAGAUUAGGUGGAAUAUAAGUGUGUUAACGAGCUGUUAAAUAAUCCCCUUUAUUUCAAAGAGAAUCAAUGAGAAUCCAUUUCCAACCACCUGUUUGAAGUAUAUAAGCAAAAAAGAAAGUACCAAAUUAUUUGAGAUAAAUUGUCUUACAACCGAUGGCCACAUAAAUUUGUAAGCUUGAAUUUUUGCCUGCACCAGCUAUAACUACAACAAAAAAAAAAAAGAAAAGAAAAGAAAAAGUACAACAGAAACCAACAAAAGGGCAGUAGACAAAGCCCCACAACUAGGGAUGGCAAUGGGGGCGGGUGCCCACGGGGGCUAAUGGGGAGGGGGUGGGGCGGGGGCGGGGGGAAUUUUUUCCCCCCGUUUAGAAACGGGGCUGGGGACGGGGGAGUGUACCCCCGCCCCGCCACCCGCUUUAAAAAAAUAAAUAUAUAAAAUAUAUAUGUAUAUAAUUAUUAUAUAAUAUAUAAUUUAAUUAGUUACAAACUUAUGAUAAUGAUAUUAUUAGUUAUAUGUAUUAUAUGAUGUCUAUUAGUAUAUAUAAUAUAAUUGAUAUUAUUAAUUAUACUAAUAAUUAUAUAUGUUUACUAAUACAAAUUAUUAAUUGGUUAUACUAAAUUUAGUAAUACAUUUAUACUAAAUCCCUGAUUACACUUAAUACAAUAACAUUUUUUUCUUAAAAAAAACACAAGCACAAUAAUGAAUUAGUGAUUGUAUUUGUGCCAAAAGUGAAAACUUGACUACUUUAGUUAUAUUUAUUUCAUCAUGUUGGAUUGUAUUCAAAUAAUUUUUGUUUGAUUGUUUUUAUAAGUUUCAAUUGUAAAAUUACAAUGAAUAAUAAUUUGAUGAUAUAUUGAUAUUUUAGUACUUGAUUAUUUGCUAAAAUUUAACCAUAAUAAAAUUAUAUAACAAAUUUUUAUUAGCCCCGUGAAGGCACCCGCGGGGGAAGCGGGGACGGGACGGGGGGAGCAGGGGACAGGGGAUGGGGCGGGGGGAGUUUGUAGGCAGCGGGGCGAGGGAUGGGGGAGGGUCCCCCGCCUCAACCCCGACCCCUCCCCCGCCCCGUUGCCAUCCCUACCAACAACUCAUUUCAUAACUAAUUUCUUUCAAAUAUCAAUUAAUAAUCUAAUCUUCAAAGGCCAAGUAUUAUGUACGAUUUAAACUGGUGAAUAUACCUAACAGAAACAAUGGGAAAAUAUUUUCAUCCGACUUCUUUUAGAGGAUGAAAAGGAAACUUGAAAAAGGAAUAACGGCGCCGUUCUUAACUGCUAGUGUAUAAUAGCUAGUUUUAGAAAAUCGGAAUAAAAAAGUAUUGCAAUAGAUUCUUUUGAUUUUUUUUUUUUAGUUUUUUAGGCUAAAAAAUCUAAAAUAAAAUUGGGAUAUGAAAAGCAGUUGAGAAUACAAAAUAUGUUAUUUUAAAAUGAAAAUUUAAAAUCAAGUCUUGAAAAUUAUUUGAGGACCACAUCACGGAAUAAAUUGUUUAGGAUGAUAAUUAGCUCCACUCAUUGUGUUUUGAUGCUACUAAUGGUUAUUUCCAAAAUUAGGUGCCUUCAUCCACCAAAACCACUCAUAUUAAUACUACUGUGUGGCUCAUAUUUAAACCCUAAACCUACCAAUGGAUCAGACCCAAUGACAAUUGAUUUGAUCAUGGCUAACCACUAUACUAUACCCACCUCUCCCCCCCCCCCCUUCUCCCUCUUUGCAUCACCAUGAAAAUAAAAUUUAAAGAAGAAGAAGAAUUUUGUGUAGUGCUUGAUGGACCAUAUACAAAGAUGUUAGAUAAAUUGUUUUUGGGAUGAAAAGUAUCUUUCUGUGCAUGUAAAAUGACAUAUACUCCGUAUUUGAAUGCUGUGUACGUGACCAAUCUCAGCUCUAUGGUGCCACAUUUUUCAUCUUUAAUUUUUUAUCUUAAUUUUUUUUUCGGAUAUAUAUGAAGCGAAUGGUCGAUAAAUAAAAGAAGAAAACAAAACUUAAAAAAAAAACCCAAAAAAAAAGGAAAGAAAAGUAAAGAAGGUUGUGAUACAUUUUUCAUCUUUAACAUCAUCAUUUCCUGAUAUGAUCUCAGAGAAUCUCAAUCCCUUUAACCUUUGUCUGAGGACUCUUAAGGUAAGUACUCUGCAUUGCAUAACAAACAUGGCACAGCCGCAUAGAACAUUCUUGUUUAACAAAUAUUAUUAUUAGAAGUGGCAAAAUGGAUUCAUAUCCACUAAUCCAUCCAUAUAAACCAACCUUAAAUGGAUUUGGAUGAUCCAUAUAAAUUCAAUGGUUUUAAAUGGAUAACCAUUUAAAUCCAAUUAUGUUAGUGGAUUUAAAUGGAUUAUCCAUCUUAUCCAUAUACAUCCAUUUAACUUAAAAAAUAGAAAACACAUUUAUAAGAAUGUGAGAUAAAAUGUUGUGGGACCAUCUAUUCUUUUCUUCAUAACUUUAUCAUAUGUCAAAUUAAUUUUGUGGGACCACCUAUUCUUUCUUUCAUAACUUCCUCGCAUGCCAAGUUGCCAAUAACAUUAAUUGCAUUUUAUUUGGUUCUAGUUCCUAGACUUCUUCCAUCCUUUUCAAAAUUAUAUUUUAGUCUCUACUCUUGUUUUUUUUAAUUAAACUCUCAUGUAGUAAUGAUUGCAAACAUUUAUAUUCUUAAGUAAAGAAAAAGCGAGAAUGCAUCAUGCAGUGUCAAAAUAAUUUUUAUUUUUUUAAUUCUUUUAUUUAUAAAAAAAAAAUUUUCUAACGAGUGUCCCCGCAACAUUGGUUAAGAUAUGUAAAUGACACUUUUUUUUUUCCCAAAUCCUCAUACUUGCAAUCCCUCUCCCCUUAUCACCCAACUCAACUAUCCAAAAAACAAAAGACACCUAAUUUACUAAGUAAUAUAAGGUAGCUGGUAUAUCAAUGGUAUAAUAAGGAGUUUCAUACAUUUUUAGGUACUACGUGCACAUGUGAUGCAAAUAUUUUACUUGUCAAAUAACAUAAGAUUUCUUAUUAGAACUCCACUUUUAUUCAAGACAUCACUCUUGAACAGGAGUGCAAAAAAUUGGAAACGUAAACUUUUUUUCACUGUAAAGCCGUAUUCAAUUCAUUCAAAAGUUAUAAAAAUAUGGCCAAGUUCUUAAUUGUUCAUUACUUUACAAAAUGAUACUUAAAGUAAUGACGAAAGGUUAAAUUGACCACAACAGUUAAAUUUUCUUGGAAUUAAACUAAUUUUAUGAAGAACUGAAAUAGAGUAGUAGUACAAGUAUUUGUUAUUACCAAAAGGUUUUAGGUGAUUUAAGGAUAGAACUUUGGGGAUAUGUAUUUUUUGGAAAAAAAACAUUUUGAUCUUAAAUUUAGGAUUUGGGAGAGUAAAUGGAUAAAUGAAUGGAUCAUGGUUUACACUAUCCAUUUAAAUGACAUCCAUUUAGAUCCAUUUAUUAAAUGGUUUUAAUUGGAUUGGAUCAAUUUGAUCCACAAUCCAUUUAACUAAAACCAUUUAUCAACCAUAUAUCCAUUUUGCCACUUCUAAUUAUUAUUAUAGCCCCUGUUGCAACUUGAUUUUUUUUUUUUUUUGUCGAACCCUGUUGCAACUUUUUUCUUUCACAAAUGUUACAGAAAGCGCACACACAUCACUCAACGCAAACGACACAGAAGGCAUCGCUAAGAUCAGCCCCAAGAACAAUAUAAGAGGAACCCACAGAGCAAUGAUGGAGCCAAGGGGGGGCAGAGGGGGGCCAUGGCCCCCCCUAAGUUUUGAGAAUUUUAAUUCAUAAUAUAUAAAUAUAUGUGUAAAAUAAACACAGAGAAACUUCAUCCAGCCAAUUGGUAACCCUGUUGCAACUUGAUGGGCUACCUUUCUUUGUUUUUUCUCAGGGUUUUGGGGGGAAAGACUUAGGGAUUGAUGGGACGUUAAAUUCAUAUAUAAUUCAAAUGUUGGUACUGGUUAAUGACUUAAAUGUCAUUCAUUGUUUGACAUGGUCAUUUGCUUCAAUAAUUUAUCAAAUGUUGUUAUCACAGUCUUGUUUCCUUCUCCAACUUACUCUAUGCCAUUUUUUUAAUAUUUAUAUACUUAUUUAUUUUGUGGUCAAUAUUUUUUUGGUUUUGUGUUGUUGGGGGGGCAAGUUUCUUUCCCGUUUACUAAAAGUUCUUUUCUUGUACUAGUUUGAAAAACUUAGAACGGACAAGGAAAAAGUUCCCCGGUUGCAUGGGCACCGAAAGACAACACGGACGUGACACUACUUUUUUCCACCCCUUUUACCUCUUCUUUUCAUUUUCUUCUCAUGCAUGUUAAUUCAAGAAAAUGACUAGUCUUUAAUUAAAGAGACCUUUAUUUUGGGGUUCAAUGAAUUAAAUUUAGACCCAUUCUAAUUUGAUGAUAGGUUCUCAUGGCAUAUUGCUCAACAUCUAGAUGACAAAGCACCAUGCCUUCUGCGCUAAGCUAGCUAGCUAGCUAGCAAGGUAGUCUGCUAUCGUGGAACGAGCACCACCGCAAACACAAGUUGCCUCAAUUGAUAACAACGGAUUGCUUUUUUACAAAAAUUUUGUACAUUUGAAUCCCGCUGACGAUAUAAUGGAUAUAUCGGUAGGCAAUCUGUAAGAAUCUCUGUAAGCGAGUUAUGGGUCUCAGGACAUGCCUUAACCCAUCGUAGUGAUCGGAGUCGAACUCACUCAAACUUUUAUUUAUCAAAAAAAUAAAUAAAUAAAGAAUGAGCACCAACGCACAAAAUCACGGGUUUUUGGAUUCCCCCAAGAAGGGAGAGGGGGUGAGAAGAAAUUGUUUCAAGCAUACAUUCAGAAAGCUUUAUGAAUAUUUAUUGAAACAACAAACACCUAAACCCUAAUAAGUAAUGACACCAAUAAUGUGUCAUUUCACAAACAACCGUGUCUAAUCGAGUUUGAAUUUCACUGUGCACUAUCUGUGAAGAGAAUCAUGGCGUUUUAACAAAGAUAAUCUUGUUUAACAAGAGUUCUAUCAAUAAUAGCAUGCCCUAACCUAAUUGAUAGCAUUCGUGUAUGAACUCAAAAAGCCCUGAUUAAAAACUGAAAUAGGGGAUUACACUAGAGAAUGAGAGGAUAAUGCUAGAGAACACACGAGUUUCCUUUCCGUGGAAAAACACUCGAUCAAAAGGAAUAAGAUUUUAUCUGAUCAAGAUACAAGAUAUGGUGAAUGUGAUUCUCUCAAGCAAAUAAAAUAGUAGUAAAGAACAGGUGGAGAUGAUCCCAGUAAAAAUCAUUUUCUUCCACUAACAUAUGUUAUCAAGAGCAUCAAAUCCAGAAUCAUAGAAUAUCGAACCCACAUGCCGCAUAAGAGUUGCAUCACCAAAAGAAGAUCGAGUUCAAUUCAUUGCCAUAAGCGCAUAAUCCUUCUUUAUUUAUUUAUUUUGGUGUGCAAAAGCUUCAUUAUCAUCACCAUCAUCAUCAUCAUCUCUUAGAAAGAAAGAUUCAUAAUUCCUAGAUUAUAUAAAACAUUUUCUCAAGCAUCUGAUCUGCACACGGAUUGGUAGAAUCCACAAGUAGAUAGCCUUUUCUUGCAAUCCAUAUUCCCAUGUCCACAUCUCCCACAAACUCACAUCCAGCUUUUGGAUAUUGGGAUUUGGAAUCCACUAUGGAUCAGGUUCCCAUGGCUCAACCAAUGCCAAGAGUAUAAUAUAUGUGAUGACAUGACAUAGGAAAACACUUGGAAUAAAAAUGCAACUAGCAUUAAAGGAAGAAAGAACACAUGCAUAGAAUCAAGAGUAAUAAAUGGUACCAAUAACAGUAAAAGUUACAUGCUUUACAUAUAUAAAACUAUAGGUAGUUCUUUCAUCUUCCUCUACUCUGCAAUUCUGACAACUGUAUGGUAUUAUUUUGGAGUUCCAACAUCAGAGUCCACAGAAAUUAUCUGCAUCAGCAACAUGCUCCUUUUCUUUACCCCCUAAAGAAUAUGGAUGUUA